GUGAAAGUUUACUGGAUCAUAGCUGAAAAGAAUAUACCACAAAAUAUUCCAAUCCAGCACACCUCUCGCACAUGGACCAAAUGAGAGGAUGAAAGCACCCCGACGAACCAGGGGGUUUCCAAGUAUCAUCCAUCGUUCAGAUAUCAUCCAGAAAGGAGGCCAAGCGUGGGAAUGAGAGAGCGCAAUGAGGAGUGAGGAGGACUCGGUACUGGGGCCCUGAUAUCACGAGCGGGGGCUUUGCCAAAUGCGCUCUCAUAGUUAUCCAAACCGCACCAGGGUACUGGAAACCUGGUCAGCAUGCUAGCUUCACUUAAUCGGAUCUGGCUGGAUGGAUAACAUUAGAGUCAGUCAGCCAGUCAGUCAGUCUGGUCAACACUAGAUGACGAUGCUGCUGCAGAUGAUGUUAGUUGAAUCUCUGUGUGUCAGUCACUUAUCUGCUGCCAGUGGGUUAGGCACCGCAGCAGCAGCAGCAGCAGCACAUCGCAUCAGACCCCUGUGUCUUCGCCGGCACCCUGAGGUGGACUGAGGGAGCAGGUUGAACUCUGGGCUGUUUUUGCAAGCUGGGUGAUGGUCUGGCUAAGAAUGGGUUUUGAUGACCAAUUGAUCACUACUUGCCACAAAAAGCCACCAGUUGUGCUCCAUUCUUAGCGACUCCUGAGGGUCCCACUGGCGUAUGAUUGUGGGCGAGUGCAUGAAUGCUUGUGUUAUAACGCCAUGGCUGCAGGUAUUGCACUUGAAGCGCAAAAAGGGUUGGUGUGCUUCGACAUCUCCUGGUGGUUGUAUUUUCCAUUUGGUUCUGGCUUCUGAGGCUGUUGGUGGAGACCACCUUCCUGUUGUGCAGGGAGUUGGGACUUUUGGGGGCCUAUUCAUGAAUCACUGCUGUUUGGCCUUUUUCAGAGAGGAUUAGGCAAUGGACAGAGUCCCCCUCCCACAAGCACACACACACACACUUGUGCAAUAGGAAACAGCUGCUCCUGAAUCUUAAUCUGUCCAUGAGAAUACCUCUUCUUUGCCUUUUAGGUCCAAAUUCAGAGUGAGUGCACAUACUGUUUUAAGAAUUCAUGUGGACAUGCCUGCAUGCUCCAUCCAGAUGGCCAAACCUUUCAGACCUGGUGUUGCUUAAAGCUGGACUUUAGGUUGACUAUAGUUUUGCCUACAUGCAUGUGAAGAAUUCUGCACUUCUACAAUGCGGCGAGUUGAUGCUGCUUACAAAGAACUGGUAGCUCUGGGGCUGUACACAUUUGAUUCUCCACUGGUUCAACAUGCAAACCCAUGCCCCCUUGUUUUGUGGCUGCAUGUUUCCUAAGAAUAUAUCAGUUGAUCACUUGCUAUGGUUCUCAAUGCAUGCUUUCUUUUGCUUGCUGUCUUUGCAAGCUAUUAUCACUAUAUAUAUAUAUAUAUACAUACACAUCUCCAUAUCCAUACACACACAUUUUCUAGUUGAAUUAUGUGUUGUUGAACAUGGAAAUAGGUAGAGUAAACUGCAGUAUAUCUCUUCCAGAGAUAAUUUGUGUAAACUCUAGUUCUUACAUUAAAUGAUAAAGUAGAAAUAAAACAAUUCUUGGGGCAAUAAAAAGAUUUAAUCAUGUCUAAGUUAUCUCUUUAUUUUUUGUCUCUCAUUUAAGGUCCAUACUAAACAAUAAAAAUUUCUUAAGAAAUUAUGAUAUAUAUUUUUUCAAGUUUAAGGAAUUUUUGUAAUAUUUCUAAAGGCCAAGGUUUCCAAAUAACAACUUUAAUUUUGCCAAACUAGGGAUUUUAAUUAGAUUGUUUAGACUGCUACCAUUCAAAGUGGAAUUUUAAAUAUAAAGACCAAACAAAUGAUUGUUGUUCCAACAAGGAUUUUGAUCAAUUUUUCUAAAUAUUUAAAUAUAUUUUUUGUUCCAACUUUUAUACUAUAUGUAUACGAUUUAUACAUUAAAAAUCAACAAUUUAUGGGUUACUAAAAUUGCAGGUUAAAAUUAGUAAGUUAAUAUCUUAUAUUUAAAUGAAACAUGAUUACAAAAGAAUUCAUUGUUUUUAUCUUUAUUGAAGUUAUAGAAGAGGAGUUUUCAUAAGUUGUGAAAAUAUGACAUGUGAAUAUGUGCAACCAGAUAGUUUGUGUGUAAUAUGUAUGCAUGUGCAUAUAUACUUCUUUUAUGAUUGCACAUUUUCAAAAAAUAUUUUUUGAAUCUUUAUCCAUGUUUCUGUGCACUAAAAACAUUAAGUUUAUUCUAGCUAUGUUGAUAUGCAAAGUUGCAAAUUGUCAAGUAGUCAAUUGACUUGAAAAAUUAAUGGGCAAUUACAGGAUUAUUAUAUAACAAAUGAAUAAAGGUGAUAGUUGGGCAGAAUAACGAUGAAAAGAAAUUGGUCCCUCUUCCUGAAUGCUUCAAAACCCAGAUAACAUGUACAAAAUUUCUUCUUAUAUUAUGAUUAUUACUGAAACGUUUGUUUUUAUAUUCAGUUUGUUCUUGGAAUGCUUGCUUAUGUCACAUUGGAAAUGACAUAUCAACUCCUUCAAAAGCACGUUUCAUUUCCAAUUAACACUAUGUUGAAGGCCCUGCAUGUGGGCAAAUGGAGGAACCCAAAGACUUGGCUAAAACUCCAGCGAUCUCUUCAGACUGAACAGCAGGUGGGGGCAGAGAACUGUACACUCUGGUUACAAUGGUCACGCGAGAAUCAGGAGAGAGAAUCUUCUCAACGAUUGAUCUGCUCAAAUGUGACUCUUAGCGCUGCGCAAAAAUCUCCAAACCUCAGCCGUGAAAGGGCAGAAUCAGAGGAAACUGUCGAGGUUCCAUUUUGUUGGGAAGAGGAAGCAGGAAUUAGUAAGCAGGGAGCUUCGAAUUAUACACAGUUGGCUUCAGUCUCCGGUGAUCACAAAAGUUAUCUAGACUUGUCUCUGCUAUAUUCCCCACGUCAUCCACCUGGAUGCCCAUGUUGCGCAUUUUGAGAGUAUCGCGGGUGGUGGGAGAUUGCCAUGGAGCGUCCCACCAGGCAAACGGGAGGAGAGGAGUUCUGGCGCACUGCGAAGCUUGAUUCUUGCAAGCCAGCUUUCCACCGAACGUCCUCCACGCGUGACCCCAACCGGACUGCUUCAUCAAGCCUUGAGCCAGCAAAUCUCGUUGAAAACUGCUGUAAAGUAAGCAAGGGGGUGGGCUGUCCUCACUGUCUGAAAGAGUUGUAGCUGCAGCCAGAGCACCCACAAGCUGCGCGUAUGUCGUGCAAAUCCUCUCGCUGGCGCCGGAGAUGACGGCCACUCUUGCACGAGCAGCUAAGAAAAAGUCUACCAGGGACACCCAGCGGGGCAUCUCUCCCCAGUCCCGCAUUUUGCUUCGGGGAGGCUGGCCGUAAUGUAAGCUCAUCACCUCGCUCAAGUUUUUAAACUUGUUUAAGUAUUCCUUGUAAUCGAAACGAAUCAGUUCUGUAUUGUCCUGUAAUUGUUCAUUGAUAUCGCUAAACACUUCUGGAGUAUCUGAAAUGAUCACCACGCGUUGCUUGCCCCUGCCAUGAAUAAGCACAGGUUUGAAGAGAUAAGUGCUCAAGAUUCUGGCAGCAAAGAAUUUGCAGUCCCAAUAUCAUUUCUAAAGAACAUGUCAUAAUGCGGUAAUACUCCACCACUUGUAUUAUCCUACAAAUGUCUCUAUCCCAUCAUUAAUCACAUGAAUGGACGAUAUCCUCAACAUGCAACAACAAAAGUGAAGACCAUGUAUACCUAGAAGUUUGUUGCAUUGCCUGUGCGAUAUGGGCAAGGCAACGUGAAGCAGCCAUUGGUGCAUCUAGACUCCGGUUAUGGCGCAAGCGCAGGUGGACGGCGAAGUCUGGCUCGGCCCCUCCCUUCAAUGCCCACUCCACAGCUGCUUGGAUAUCGCGAGUAGGAGUUAUAAAGGCUCGAAGAAGCUCUCCGAAAGUAUUUGGCCGUGAGCUCGGAUACGCGGGAUGACCAAGGACCAUGGCAGCCGCAGACCUCACGGCUGCAUUUCUGUUUUUCAGUAAGAACUGCAAACCAACUGUGUCUACUGUGCCCUUGAACCAUAGCACAGUGUCUGGUAUGGUUGUCCAGUCAUCGCAUAGCGAGUUCGAUCGUCCGGGUCCAUGCUCAAUGUCAUCGACACGCAUUGUCAUGCGGCGGUUGUGCUUUCCAGCGCAAUCGUGUACAGCCCACAGGUGUUUCACUUCUUGCAUACUAAAAAAUUGGUUGGAGUAUACUAUAUAGUCUCCAAAGGGAAGGACAAUGUUCCGGGGAUCACCAAUGUAGGAUGGAGUAUUCGCUCCACGCUCACCUUCAGGAACAACAUUUCAAUACAGUACCCUAAGUGCAAAGCUAUGAAGAUGUCCUGUACAUGAGCUUGAAGAACACUUAACUGUUCGAAAUUGAUUGAGUUCAUUGCCUAUUUUUCAAUUUUAAAAGAGUCCGUGAGAAUUAUCACUAAAGCUAAGGAUGAAAAAAGAAGAAGAAAACACGAAACUUAAAUUGUCAACGUACCUAUUAUGAGCGAACGAUUGAGCAUGAGGGCAAGGCCUGCGCCACUCAGAACUUUGUACAUAUUAUUACCAAAACCAUCUUCAGAAGCAAGUCCCAUUACAAACUUGCGCUCACAGAAUUCCAAUCCAGGGAGGUUGCGAAUCGUUUCCGCUCCAUGAUCAAGCAUCCACGUUUUGAUCAUGUCACGUAAUCGAAGGCUUGCAGCCCUUGUGUCGCCAACAGCUACAGAUCCCAUCUCCUCAACUGUACCACAUUGCUUUGGAGGUUCCCAGCACUUUGAGAAUACUCUGGGAACUUCGGAGCGUGAGAUAAAAGAGGAAUCAUCCUUCUCACAGCCAAUAACCUCUUCUUCGGUGGCUGAUUUACCUGGCAUAUCCAGAGGCUCAAUCUCAGAAGAAGAGAUCCAUGGCCCCAAAAAUCCUAGUAGCUUUUGACCGAUGGUAGGAGAUGUCGAAGAGCUAGAGAACACAUUCUUGUUCACACCCUGAGAUUUCUUAGAAAGCAGAUGGGGAGCUGCGUUGGCUCCCAUUUCGGACUCAAACGUUUCUGUCAUUUGAAUACUUUGAACUUUCUCCUCUUGGUUUCUCUUCUCCAAGUCCUGCUCUUGAAGAACAUUUGAACGCAAACUAGACCAUUGCCCCUUUGCUCUUGCGAGGUCAUCCAUCUGAAGAGCCCCAUUUCCUACACCUACAUUCCCAUCGCUAGAUAGUUCGUAAAUUGUUAGCAACACGCUGAUGCAUAUCAUACAGAGACCGAGAAGCUGAAAACCUAAAGAAUAGUUGCUGUAGAUGCGGCGGUGCUCCCUAAUCUGCUUGGAAUUACUUCUUCGUAAGAUUGGGGGCGGCAUGUUGGAAAUGUAAAUGAGGUUCUUGAUAAUGAGCUCAAUGUGCCUGUAGACUAAAUUCUUGCAAAGUCUAGAAGGUCUUCGUGGAUCUGGCGGGAGGUAGGAUCAAGAAAGAGUCGUGACUCACAGUACAAUCAGCCAUUCUUAAACUGGGAGCCCAGUACUACGCCAUUAACUUGACAAUUGUUUACGCCUGCAUACACAGACAUAGAUUAGUGGCAGUCUAAAAGCAAUGCAGACAUUAACGAGAUGAAUCAGAUAAAAUUCGAAGAGGGGAAAGCUCAAUCCAAGUUCAGGAGAUGGUUAAUGUUCGAGGGUUUGUGGAAAGACAUUCGCAAUAGGAUUUAAUAGAAAAUAGCUGCUAAUAAAGGAUUGGUAAGAAAAUUCUGAUGCCAGUGAAGACUCGAACAGAAGGUUUGUUUCAGAAACUAGCUGCUUGAACACCGGGAGUCUUUGCCACCAGAUGGUAGAGUAUUCCGAUGCGAAGAAAGAAGAGAGAAAUAAAACAGAGAAGGGGUGGUAGAAAGAAAGAAAAAAAGAAGAAAUUAAGGGAAACAAGAAAAAGAAAGAAAGAAAGAAAAAAAAAAUGGAGACCGCGGUUUUGAAUUCUUCAACUCGUACUGCGAGCUUACUAAUCAUUCAUUAGAAUUGAGCUAUUCCUAAGAAACGCAAGGACUGCAAAACGGAAAACCGACAACACACGGCUAGGGGAGUGUGUAUGAAAAAAGGCAAAACACUUAGCGCACCAACCCCAACCAACUCUACAACUCACCUCAACAACCACGACUACCCACUUCACUGGAAAACGAAAAACACAAACUGCGUCACCAUCACCACCUUGAGCCUUCCAUUCCAUGUGCAACUUCAGUUGUGAAUCAACACUCAGUACUCACCCAAAUCCCUUUCGCGUUUUGCCAAGUAGACAGCAAAAUGUGAGACGACGACUCCACUGUGGGGUCGGAUCUAAUGUGGGCAUGGCAUCAGUGGAGAGUUCGGCCACCACGGAACAAGCAACACCAGCACCAGCACCAGCAGGAGCCCCAGGCAUAGCCAGUAAGUAGACCCCCAACAAAAGUGCCACAAUCCCUCGUCCUCAUUCAGAGCUGACGGUCUCGCUACAAUGCAACAAAACCCCCACUUCUCCCACUUCUGCUAAUGAAAGGGACCCAAUAAUGCUGGUGCCAAUAAUCCCCCACCUCCUCCUCCUUAGUAUGGGGCUUGCCCUAACACUGGGAGCUUUACCCAAUACUCCACACACCCUCUCGUUUCCCUUUAAUUGGUGUGUGGUUUUGGGUCCCACGUUUUUUCUUUUCGUUUUGAAUGUUCGGAUCAACUUUAUGAAGAAAGUAGAUCCUUUGCUUGUUGAACAUGGUAAUAGUUCUUGUGAACUCCACCCAGUUUUUGUGGACUUUAACGUGAAUUUUACCCAAUUUUUACUUCGUUAUCAUUGUGGAGACGUUUUUCACUUUGGAAUUUGGAGGUGUCUUUCAUGAAGUUCGUAUGAUGUCUACUUGUUACACCCUUGUUUAGCCAACGAUUCUUUUGAAUUCACAUAAUAUUUUAAUUAAUGAAUUCAGAAUACAGUGUUUUAUUUUAAAUUGAUGUUUAAAAUAUUUAUUUUAUUUUAUUUAGAUUGAUGCAUAAGUUUUUUAAAAAUAAUAAUAGUGCUAAAUUUUGAUUUUUGACAAAAAAAUAUAGAUUUUUAAUCUCUAUUGGGAUUUUUUAAAUGUACAUUAGAAAAUAAAUAUAAGAUUCAUUUAUAGAAUAAAAUUACAAUUGAUCAAAACCACAAAAGAACAACUAAAUUAUUUUAUAAAUAGAAUUUAGAAUUUAGAAUUUAGAAUUUUAAAAGUUCUAAUCAUAAAUAUUUUUAUUAGCCCACAACCUCCUUGCAUCAAAGACGACAUUUUAAAGUUGUAGAUUACCUAUAGAGUUUAAGAAUUUAAAUUAAUGAUAAAAGAUGACGUUUUUCUUUUUCUUGUUGUUUUUUCUUUGUUUUUUCUAAUCAGUCAAAAAAAAUACAAGGAAUUCUAAAUUUUACUUAGCUUGAAUUAGUUUAUUAAAUACUUUGUGUAUUUUUUAAAAUAUUUAUAAUAAUUUAAAAAAAGAAAAAGCACAACUAUAACAUGUUUAUGGUUUUUAUAUUUAAUAUACAAAUAUAAUAUAGUAGAUAUAUAUUCUAACUCUAAAAAUAAUUUUGUUAAAUUUUAUGAAUAUAAAAAACAAAAAUAACAAACUUAUAAAUAUUUAUAUUUACUAGAACAUUUAUGUAAUAAAUAAAUUAAAAAAAUUACUUAAGAUUUUAAAGACAUGUUUUUGAAUCAUUUACAUUCUAUUUUUUAAUAAAACUAUUAUAAUGAAAUUCUCUUUAUUAAAUUGAAUCUAUAAUGUAUUAUAAGUAGAAUAUCUUAUUUGGUAAAAAAAAUUUACAAUUUCAAUUUAUAAUUUUUAUUAAAAUUUCUUUUAUUGAAGAAAUUGAUACAUUUUUAUUUUUUUUAAAGAAAUAAAAAAUAAGAGAUAAAAAAGAUAAUAUAUUAUAAAUAUAUUUUGGCAUAUUGUAAUCCAAUAAUAUCACCAUAUACAAACAUCUACCUAUGUUAUUAUUAUUGUUAUUAAUUUAUCUUGUUGUAAAGUAUAAAAGAAUCUUAAAAUUAUAAAUGCUAAUCUUAAAACAAAAUUAUAAAAUUUAUACUUAUAUGUGGCACAAUUCUAUAACUAUUAUAAAUAAAAUUGAAGUCUUUCAAAUUUUACAAAUUUUUUUAUUAUAUUUAAUAAAUAAUAAAUUAAUAUCACCAGGUUGCAUUAUCAAGUUAAGAUUCUUUUUAUAAAUCUUUUAAGUAUCAAAAUAUUAUAUAAUAUAAUGUAGAUUUAAUAUGGAACAAUUUAUGAAAUUAAUUUUUAGACAAGUAGAGGUAGUAGGAUUGUAAACAAAGUCAAGUUUAGUAGAGAAAGUAUCAUUAAUUAAAAUAUCUUGGUUGAAUAAAACAAAAAAAAAGAGUUUGAAAAUCAUUUUUAUUAAGUGGAUAGAAAGAAGUAUUACAAAUAGAGGUUUGAGUAAGUUGUAGCUUACCGUAUUUUUAAAAAAAAUUUAGUUGUUAUUUUUUUAUUUAACUUUUGGAAUAGAAAAAUAAUAGAUGUAUUAAAAUGACUCAACAAUAUGAUGCAUAAAAUUCUCGUAGAAUAUAAUUUUUUCUUAUUAUUAGAAUGGUUUAAUUAUAUGCCAAAGUGUUUGAAUUCAGAUAUUCUAGGAUAGACGUCAAUUACGGUUUUAGGAAUAUGAUUUAGGUUUUUAAGAUGAAUUAGAAUUAAAAAUUAAAUUUAAUCUUAAUAAUAUUUGAAUUCUUAUAAUAGAUUAGAAGUAGAUUAUUAGAAUAUAUAUAAGGAUUAAGUGAAAGUUAUUUGAUUAUUUAAUCUUAAAUGUUUAGUCUUUGGAUUUCAAGUUUAGCUUAUUAAAUUUAAAAUACAUACAUGGUGCAACAAUAUAAAAAAGUAUGCAAUAAAUAUUUUAUAAUACAUAAUAAAUAAGAUGUGCAAUUGUAGAUGUGUAAUAGUAGAAAAAAUUAAAGGAACAAAUGUGUCAAAGACAUGAAUUUCAAGAAACUAAAAAGAUCAAUAAAUUCUUAUGUCACUCAAAUAGACUAAAAACUCACUAAAAGAUGGUAUAAUAUUAAACUAGAAUGGCUAUUUUUAAAUAUAAGAUGACUAUAAAAUCUUGAAACAAGAUUAAGAACUAAAAAAAUAUUGACAAGAAUAAAAAAUGCUUCACUCUUGCCUCUAUGUAUACUAUCUAAUUAGGAGUUAAAUGGCAAUAUUCAAUAGGACGUCCAACACAUGUUUAAUUUCCUAGACAUAUGUUUUAACUUACAAGCUAAGUUUUUUUUACAUCCUUGCCAUAUUAUUUGCUUGUAUCUUAAGCUACUCAUAUGUGCAAAAUAUGGCUAAUUUAUUGGUAAAGUUUCUAACCUAAUAAUUAAUUAUAAUCAUGUAUAAAAUAAACUACACAUUUAUGAAGCUUGUAGAAAACUUUGCUAUAAGAUAAUAUCAAAUCUACUUAUAUUUAUCUCCCAUCUAGCACUUUUUAUCUAAAAAAAUAUGAAUGUCUAUGAUAAUAUAUAUAUAUAUAUAUAUAUAUAUAUAUAUAUAUAUAUAUAUUAUUUCAGGAUAAUUUUUAGAAAGAGUGGUCAUCAUAUGUUGAGGAAGUCGAAGAUGCGACAAAUUAAGUUUGCCACAUAAUUUGAUCUUUAUUCCUUUUGAAAGUGGUUGAUAGGUCCUCUCACCCAUUGAUGGUGUUCUAUAUCAAAGCAAUAAGACCAUCUUAUUACUUGAUCAUUGUUGAGGCUUUUGUAACUUACUUCAAAUAAAAUAUUUGAAACACUAUCAAGAAUCAUUCAUAUCUCUAAUAAAAUCACCAAAUAUUGAGAAUCUCUUCCAAAAUUAUGAUAUCAAAUACAUUAUAUCUUACCAUUUAUUCAAGAAAUAAUAUGUCAUUUUUAAGGAUCUUCAUCUCUAUUACAUUAUCUUGAAGGUUUUGACAAUUGCAAUAUCUCAUUUGAUAAAUCAACAAAUAAUAGCUCUUAAGUUGAAUUUUCUUACUAUUGAUUUUCUAUCUCUUAAGUGCCACUAAUAUAUAAAAACUACAAACAAGGAUAGAAAAUAAAAUGUAAUCUUUCUUGGAUCUUGUUUCUUUUAUAGCAAAGAUUUGCUAUUCUUCAUCUUGAUUUUGAAGGAUGUCAUAGAUAAAAACAUCAACUUUUUUUAUUGUAUUUGUAAGAUUCUUUGCAAUUUUCCAUGUGUACUUAUUAAUAUCAUAUUUAUGCUAAUGAAUAAGUUAUUAUAAUCUAUUUUGGCACUGCCUUGAAUCUAAAACUUCUUCAAGCUCAUAUUUUUUAUUAUUGUCCACUUCUAUAUGAAAAAGUAGCAUUUGCCUUCUUCUCAAGUUAUUCAUUAACUUAUAUGGUUUAAAAAGAGAUAUGUGAAAUAUAUGAUGGAUCUUCAUAGACUAUAAUAGAUAUAAUUGAUAAGCAAUUGAAUUAAUUUAUUCAUACAUAAGAAAUAAUCUAAGCCUAUGAUAAUUCAACUUAUCACAAGGACAAGUAGUCUUAAUAUUGCAACAAAAUAACCAUACCUUGUUGCCAACAUGGAAUUGAAAUUUCUUUUAAAAUAUGAAUUUGUAUUGAUCUUUUGUCAUUCUUAAGCUUCUCUUAAUUAUGCCUUUAUUAUUGUAUGUAGCUCAGAUAAAUAAUUUGCCAAAUCUUUUGUUGUAGGAUUAUCAACUUCUAAGAAGUCAAAAAUAUCAAGUUGUAGAUAAUAAUCAUAAUUAAUAAAGAAAGAUAUUUAUUACAUAAAAAAUAUACUAUGUUAUUAUAAGCAAACUUUAUCAAUAAUAAAAAAAAUUUCAAUCAUCUUAUUGAUAGUUUAUGAUAUAUCUCAAAUAUUGCUUCAAAACUUGAUUUAUGUACUUUAUUUGUCUAUUGAUUUGAUGAUGAAGAUCAUUUUAUUUUUAUUUUUAAAAACUUAAAAAAAAUUCUCUAAAAUCUUGAUAUAAAUUAAAUUCUCCUAUUUAAUAUUAUAUCCUUGGACAAUCCAUGAUAGUGAUAGAUAUUAUUAACAAAAACUUAGAUGUUUCUUUACUUGUGAUAGAUUUUGUACAUGAUAUAAAGUAUAUAAUUUUCGUGAAAUAAUCUAUUAUCACAAAUAUAGAAUCAGAAGAAUUCAAGACUAGAAGAUCUAUAAUAAAAUCUAUAGAAAUAAAAGACCAUGAUUGUUUUGAAAUAUAUAAUAGCUGAAAAAGCCCAUAAAGUUUGACAAGGAAUUUUUGACCUUGAAAAAACAUCACAUGAUUGUAUAAAGUCUUUGUCUGCCUUUUAUAUAUGAGGCCACUAAUUGUUUUUAGAUAUUAGCUCCAAAGUCUUAUAGUAUCCAAAAUCUCUAGUUGUUGAAAAGUCGUGAGAAGGUUGAAGAAUACUUAAUGGUGUUUUACCUUCUAGAAUAUAUUAUUAUUCCUUGAAAUAGAGUAGAUUUUUCUUGAAUUUAAACUUUGAGGUAUAAUAAAACUUAGAAAAAUUAUUUUUAAUAUCAUGAAUAAGAAGAUAAAAAAAAAACUUAAUUGAAUUUGCUUGAAAAAAGUUGAAUCAAGAGUUCAUAUUGAUUUUAUUGCUUGAAGUUAAAAAUGCUUUGAUUUCAAGAAAAUUAUUCUUUGUUGAUAAAAAAAUAUUACAUCUCUUUCUUUUAGGCAUAAGAUAAAAACAUCUAGAAAAAGAAUUUAAUAAUUUUUAUUUUAGGAUCAAUAAAUAAUCUUGAAAUCAAAUCUUGAUAAAGACAUGCUCCAAUAAAUUUGGUAAUGAUUCAAAAUAUAUGCUAACAUAAAAUAUUUGAAGUUCUUGUGAUUCAUAUAUACAAUAACUAGAUUAAAAGUAUCUUUUAGAUAAUAAUUUCAUUCUUGAAACGAAUCUACAAUUACAUGAAGCUCUUUGUUGCGGAUCUCGUAGUUGAUCUUGACUGUUGAAAAUUUCUUGGAAUAAAAAGCUAUUAGGUAGAACUUAUUAUUUGCUACCAUUUGUAACAUCACAUCCAUGGCAAAUUUUGAUGCAUAUGUUUGCAUAAAAAAUGCCUUAACAAAGUUGACAUGAUAUGGGAUUGGUGCAAAAAUUAAUACUAUCUUCAAGGCUUCAAAAGUUGUUCCAAUUUCUUUGCUCUAUUCAAGUUUAUCUUUAUAAAUCAAAUGUAUAAGAAGAGCUACAACUAAAAAAAAUUCUUAAUGAAGGUUUGAUAAUAAUUGCCAAUUUCAAAAAAUAUUACAUAUUUUUUUAUUAUUUUUGGAGUUUUUUAAUUGAUGAUAAUCUAGAUCUUCUUAGGAUCCAUCAUAAGGCCAUUGUUUGAAAUGAUGUAUCCUAAGAAGUCAACUUAAGUAGUAUAAAUUACACACUUUUCCAUCUUAGCAUAUAAUCUUAUAUCUUUUAAUUUUUGUAAUAUAUGACAAAUAUGAAAUUCAUACUCUUUUAUAUUUUUAAAGUAGAUUAAUAUACUGUUUAAAUAAAAAAUAAUAAAGUCAUUAAGAAACUCACAAAAGAUACCAUUCAUUAAAUGUUGAAAAGUAGUUGGUGCAUUUGUGAGUCUAAAAAAUAUAAUAUUGUAAUUAAAAUAUUUAUACUUAGUUCAAAACAUAGUUUUUUAUUUACUUCUAUAAUAUUAUAUAUAUAUAUAUAUAUAUAUAUAUAUAUAUAUAUAUAUAUAUUAGCUACCUUAAAUUAUAAUAGUAUUGUGAGUCAUUAUAUUGACCUAGUAGUUUUUUUAGGAUAAAAAUAUGCAUUCAGAGUACUUAAAACCAUAAUAUAUGGUGAAUAGUAUAAAAAUCUUUAGAAAAAUAGAAAAUUAGAAUGUUGAUUGUAAAAAUAGAAUCUUAAUAAGUUUUAGAGGUAAUUAUCUUAGUUGAUUUAGUAUUUUUUUAUUUAUUAUUAAAUAUUUAGAAUUAUUUAUUAAGAUCAAUAUUUAUAUUAACCUUCUAUCUAUAUGUAUUACUUAUAAAAAAUUAUAAAUGUUAGUUAAUAGCUAAAAAAAACAUGAAAAAGAACCUCAUGUCUUUUUAAUUAUUUAUAUAGAAAAUAGGAUUUACAAUAGAUUUAAAUUGGUUUUGUUAUUAUAAAAAAUUAUCAAGGUAGACAAAUAUAGCUUAAAAUUAAUAUUAAUAUUAUAAAUUUAUAAGAAUGUUUAAAAUUUAUUUAGAAUUUAUUUAGAAUUAUUUAGGAUUUCUUAGAGCAAUUUCUAAGACUUUGGUAAAAAUGAGUUUUAUCACUUUAGAAGCCAUUAUGAAGAAAUAGAGCAAGAUUUGAAGGCCAUAUAGGUUUCUAGGCUAAUUAAGUGUUUUUAAACACCAUGGUGAAGUCAAAAAUGAAAAAAUAUUAGUUCUACUAGUAGAAAAUAGGAUGACCAAUAGUUAGUAUAGUCCUUGUAAGAAAAGAGGUGCACAAGUGUGACGGACAUACGCAUAUAAGUCAGUAAUUACAUGUAUAAAUAUGUAGAAAUAAGUAAAAGUAGAUAAAAGUAACUUAAUUCUAUAGUAUUUGGUAUGGAAGCUUUUUAGAAGCUUCAUAGACGUUGCUUUGACUUCAUAGGUGUCUUUAAUUGACUUUUUGGGAUUAGAAAUGUGGUCAACAAGUUGGCCAUGUGCCACAUAUGUUGUUAGCUUGAAGACUAAGCUAACUAUGUGGUCCGCACGUAGAAAAACUUACCUUGUAAGUCAAGGCAUGUGUCCUAUAAAGUCAACACAUAUUGGAGGUCGUAUAGAAUGUCGCCAUGUAGCUUUUAGUAAGAUAGUAUAUAUAGAGACAAGAGUAAAGCCUUCUUCAUUCUUAUCAACUCCUUUCUUGCUUCCAAUCUAGUUUCAAGGGUCUCUAAUUUUCUUGGCUUUUGGCAAUAGCCAUUCUAGUUUCUUUCUUAAUAUAUAUAUCAAGUUAUUUCUAUUUUUCAUCUUUCUUUGAGAGAAGUCUCAAUUUUUUAUUUUUUUUAUCAUGUUCUUAUUGUUGACAGAUUGAAAAGAAUACACUUAUAAUAUCAGAGCUUUAUUUAAUCUUGAUUAAGAGUGGAUUACCCCUUUUUUCUUGAUAAGACAUAAGCAUAUUAGAAGUUGCAGAUUAUCCUCUUCUAAACUGAUAUUGUCCUUAGUAUUUUCUUUGUUCCGAAGUCCUCUCUUCUAUUUGUCUUGAGUGAUAUUAGAUAUCUUUUCUUUUCUAAGUAUUAUCAUGGCAGAACUUGCUGAAAUAAAGAGUACAAUGGUACAAAUGCAAGAGCAAUUAAGGGAGUUAAUCCUUACAAUACAUCAAUUCAAUUUAACACUACAAGGAGCAACAAGAUUGGCAGGAAGUGAAGAUAUAGAAAUGAUUGGAGUUGCUUCAAUAUGUGCACCAAAUGAUGUCUCUUCUUAUAUGGUGGAAUGUCCUUCAAGUGUUAGAGAACCAAGAAUUGCCCUACCCGAGAAGUUUGAUGGUACCAGAUCAAAGUUUAGAAGAUUUAUCAAUCAAAUACAACUUGUGAUUGAACUUCAACCCCAAAGCUAUCCAACUCCAAGAUCGCAAGUUAGAUUCAUUGGUAUGCUUCUUUUAGAUUCAGCAUUAUCAUGAUUUUCAUCUUUUCUUGAAUGACGAGAUCCAAUAUUGGAUAAUCUAGAGCCUUUUUUGACGGAGUUUUGAUCCAUGUAUGGAGAAUAUGAUGCAAUUCAUUUUGCAACCAAUAAGAUCCACAUUUUACGAUAAGGCAAUCGAUCAGUAACGUUGUAUGCUUCACAAUUUUGACAACUUAUAACUGAUAUCAAGUGGAAUAAUGCUAUAUUUAUUAGCCAAUUUUUCUACGGAUUAUAAUAUGAGGUAAAAAAAUUAAUGCUCAACUUACUUGAUCCUCAAACAUUGAGUCAAGCAAUUGAUUUUGCUAUGAAGUGUGACAAUCACCUUUUUGAAUUCUGAUUUAAGAAUCGUAUAAGUAAACCUCAAUAUUACUAUAAUUCAAUAGCAACACUAACAUCUCUUCAACACAUACAUUCAGAAGUAGAGGAUAUGCAAAUUGAUGCAGUAUGUUUUAAACCUCUUACUGAGCAAGAAAAGACUCAUUGUUGUCAAGAAGGAUUGUGCUUAUAUUGUGGAGAACCUAAGCACAUUGUUCAACAUUGUCCAAAGAAGCAAAUCAACCAUAAAAUGAGGAGUACAGCAAUCAAAGGAGAAAACAUGUCGGAAAACGAAUUUGUCCAACUACAAUAGGGACCGUGUAGCUGGAACCUUGUACAAUGCCUAAUGAAGGUCCUAUCUUCUCCUCAGAACCCUCUCUAUGUUUUACGACAAAUGUUAUUCUAGGAUCUAAACAUCUCAAAGCCUCUGUCUUGCUAGAUUCAAGAGCCUCAGUAUGUUUCUUAGAUGAAAAAUUUGCUAAAAGAUAUAACAUAUUUUUAAUAAAGAAAACUAAACCUAUUCAUAUAGAAGUCAUAGAUGGUUGUCCGUUGUCUUUAAGAGAUGUUACUCAUGAAACCCUUCCUAUAGAAAUAGCAACUAAUGGUCAUAGUAGCUUUGUAAUAUUUAAUAUCAUUAGAUCUUCUUUUAAUCUAGUCAUUUUAGGUUUAUCAUGGCUAGAAAAAUAUAACCCUAAAAUAGAUUAGACUUCUCGUAGUCUUGACUUUUUUGAAAGUAUAACUAAGAAUGUAGUUAAUCAAGUAGAAAGCCAUAAGUCUAGUAUAAUUAAACCUAUAUUUGUAGGUGCAAGUGCUUUCUUGCAUGCUACAAAAAAAUGAUCACCUUUUGUCAUUUAUGCCACAAUUGUUUCUAUUGGUGGAAAGACUUCAAGUGGCAUUCCAAGCCAAUAUCAAGAUUUUUAAGAUGUAUUUGAAAAAAAGAAUAUGGAUACUCUUCCAGAACAUCGUUCCUAUGAUUGCUCAAUUGACAUUCAAGAAGGAGCACAACCACCAUUUUGAUCAAUCUACAAUUUAUCUCAAAAUGAGUUGGUUGAAAUCAAAGAGUAUAUUGAAGAGAAUUUGGCUAAGAACUUUAUACACUAUUCCAAAUCUCUAGCAAGAGCUCCAAUUUUAUUUGUGAAGAAAAAAGAUGGAUCAUUGCGGAUGUGUGUUGAUUAUCGAGGACUCAACAAAAUCACUAUGAAAAAUAGAUAUCCGCUACCUUUGAUAUUUAGACUCCUUGAUUAGUUGAAUCAAGUUAAGAUCUAUACAAAAAUAGAUCUAUGGGGAGCAUACAAUUUGGUAUGCAUCAAAGAAGGAGAUGAAUGGAAGAUUGCGUUUCGAACAAGGUAUGGACAUUUUGAAUACAACAUCAUGCCCUUUGGACUUACAAAUGCAUCAGUAGCAUUCCAACAUGUAAUGAAUGAUGUCUUUUGGGAGUUCUUAGAUGAUUUUAUUGUUUGUUAUCUAGACGACAUCUUAAUCUAUUCUAAGAACUUAGAAGAACAUAAACUUCAUGUUCGCAAAGUAUUACAAAAACUAAGAGAUGUAGGACUCUAUGCCAAGAUAGAAAAGUGUGUAUUUCACACUAUUCAUGUCGACUUUUUAGGAUAUAUCAUUUCAAAUGAUGGACUUAUGAUGGAUCCUAAAAAAUUUUAAACUAUUAUAGAUUGGAAGAUCCCUAAAAUGAUAAGAGAUGUCUAAUGUUUUUUGGAAUUUGCUAACUACUAUCAGAUCUUUAUCAAAUUUUUUUCUUAAGUUGUAGCUCUACUUACAUGUUUGACUUGCAAAGACAAACUUCAAUGGAAUCUAAAAGCAAAAGUAGCAUUUGAAGCUUUGAAGACAGCCUUUGUUUCUACACCAAUUUUGUAUCGUGUUGAUUUUUUUAAGCUAUUUUUUAUGGAAACACUCACAUCAAACUUUGCUUUGGGUGCCGUAUUGUCACAAAUGGGAAUAGAUGAUAAACUUCACUCAAUAACUUUUCAUUCCAAAAAAUUUUCAGCAGUCGAGAUCAACUAUGAGAUCCACGAUAAAGAAUUUUUUAUAAUCGUGGAUUUAUUUCAAGAAUGGCACCAUUAUCUAAAAGGUGCUUUUAACCUAAUCACAUUGUAUACAGAUCACAAGAACCUUCAAUAUUUUAUGUCAGCACUUGUUUUGAAUCAUCGCCAAGCUCGUUGGAAUAUGUCUUUGUCAAGAUUUGAAUUCAAGAUCACUUAUCGACCAUGAAAAUAACAAGGUUUGUUAGAUGCACUCUCUAGACGAUCUUACCUUGCAUCAAAGGAGGGAGAUACUACUUUUGAUCAACAACAAAUAAUUCUCUUGAAGCCAGAGCAUCUUCAUCUUCGAGCAAUGAAAUCAACAUUAACUGUUGAUUCAACUUUCAUUAAGCAAGUUCAGUCAAAUAUGUCUUGUGAUCAUUUUAUUUGUGAUAUUUAGGAAAAUCUUUCAAAGUCUUAUGAUACUUCCAAGUUUAAAUUCAAGAAGAAUCUACUAUAUUUUGAGGGAUACCUAUAUAUUCCAGAAGGUGAAGCUCGAUUACAUGUUCUUCAAGCUCGUCAUGACUUUCCAGUAGCAGGACAUUUUGGGUACAAUAAAACUCUAGAAUUAAUAUCUAGGGAUUUUUGAUGGCUUCAAAUGUGGACAGCAGUCAAAGAUUUUGUAAAAUCAUGUGAUGUUUGCUCGAGAUGAAAAACUCCUUGUCAUCGACCUUAUGAACUUCUUCAGCCAUUAUCCAUUCCAGAACAACCAUGGUCUUCUAUUUCUAUAGAUUUCAUAACAGAUCUUCCAAUCUUAGGUUCUUAUGUCUCUAUAUUUGUGAUAGUAGAUCAUUUUACCAAGAUGGCACAUUUUGUACCAUGUACAAAAUCUAUCACAGGUGAAGAAACAGCUAAGCUCUUUCUUGAUAAUAUCUACCGCUAUCAUGGAUUAUCCAAGGAUAUUAUAUCAGAUAGGCGAACUCAAUUCGUAUCAAGAUUUUGGUGGACUCUUUUCAAGAUUUUAAAAGUAGAUAUAAAACUAUCUUUACUAUUCCAUCCUCAAACUGAUGGACAAAUAGAGCAUAUUAAUUAAGUUUUGGAGGUGUAUUUAAGAUGUACCAUUAACUACCAACAAGAUGAUUGGACAACUCUUUUGCCAUUGGUAGAAUUUGCUUACAAUAACACGAUACUUUCUUCUAUAAAACAAACACCUUUCUUUGCGAAUUAUGGUUAUCAUCCACGACUUAAUACUUUUGACUUUUCAAAAGUUGAUAAUCCUGCUGCGAAAGAUUUGGCGAUUCAUUUGUCAAAGCUACAUACAACGAUGAAGGCGUAGUUAAAAGAAGCUCAAGAACAACAAAAGGUCAAUGUGGAUGUCUAUCAAAAGGAACAACCACCAUUCUACUUGGGUGAUAAGAUAUGAUUACUUAAUUGUAAUAUCAAAACCACUCGUCCUUGUGACAAGUUGGACUAUCGAAGGCUUAGACCAUUUUUUAUUUCUGCAUAAAUCAAUUCAAUUGUAUAUCGUUUAUUCCUAUAAGAGUCAAUAAAAAUCCAUCGAGUAUUUCACGUGUCUCUUUUUGAACCAUACAAGAUAGUGGACAUAUCAAUAAGAAGACAAGCUCUACCUCCUCCUAUAAAAGUGGACAAUAAUAAAGAGUUUGAAGUGGAAGAAGUCUUAGAUUCAAGGUGAAGCCAAAAUAAAUUAGAAUAUCUUAUCCAUUGGUGCGGAUAUGGUAUUAAUAAACAUACAUGGGAGCUAGUAAAGAAUCUUGUAAAUGCAACAAAGGCGAUGGAGGCUUUUCAUCGACGAUAUCCAUUAUAAUCAAGAUAAAAACCUUCUUUAUAAAAGAACAAAAUGUAGGCAAGAUAAUAUUCUACUUUCAAUCUUUCUUUGUAGCUUCUUUGUAGUUGUGAUAUUCAGGAGAUGGAGAACCAAUAAUCAAUGGAUUUGACUCAAAAACCUUCAUUUAUUGACCUAUCAAAUGAAACAUUAUAAUUGUCACAACCUUCAAGACAACUCAAUUAAGAUGAAGAACUUUAAGAAUAACAUGUUCUUUCUCUAAUAGAUGGCGAGAUACAAUGCAUUUGGUAUCAUUAUCUUGGAAGGAACUCUCGAUGUUUGAUGAUUUUACUAGAGGUAGGAACAAUUCCUGAUCAUGUUUCAAAUAUUUUAUUCGAAGGAAGUUAUGAAGGCUUCAACAAUGAUCAAAUAACUAGGUGGUCUUCUCGCCCUGGUAUGGAACACUAUCGAUGGUUGAGAGGCCCUGUCAAUCAUCUUUGAAGAGAACAAAGAUCAGAGUAUGUGGCGAAUACAAUUUGUCGCAUCAUAGAUUUCCUCAACAUAUGAUUAUCGCUCCUCGUAGAACUCGUUCCUAGAAGGAGGGGGUAAUGUCACGAACAUUCGCAUGUAAGCCAAUAAUUACAUGUAUAAAUAAGUAGAAAUAAGUAAAAAUAGAUAAAAAUAAGUUAAUUCUAUAAUAUUUGAUAUUUAAGCUUCUUAGAAGCUUUAUAGAUGCUACUUUGACUUUAUGAAUAUCUUUAAUUGACUUUUUGGGAUUAGAAACGUAGUCAACAAGUUGGCCAUGUACCACACAUGUUGUUAGCUUAAAGACCAAGCUAAUUAUAUGGCCCACAUAUAGAAAAACUUACCUUAUAAGUCAAGGCGUGUGUCCUAUAAAGUCAACACAUAUUGGAGGUCGUAUAGAUCAUCGCCACAUAGCUCCUAGAAAGAUAGUAUAUAUAAAGACAAGUGUAAAGCCUUCUUCACUCUUGUCAACUCUUUUCUUGCUUUUAGUCUAGUUUCAAGGGUCUCUAGUUUUCUUGGCUUUUAGCAAUAGCCAUUCUAGUUUCUUUCUUAAUAUACAUAUAAAGUUAUUUCUAUUUUUUCAUCUUUCUUUGAGAGAAGUCUCACUUGUUUAUUUGUCUUUAUCAUGUUCUUAUCCUUGACAACAAGUUUUAUAUGAGUUGUAGUACCUUGAAGGUACUUAAGAGGAUAAGAUUAAGGCCUUGUAGCCUCUCUUAGAUACCCAUAUACACUACUUACGAGCCUUAAUGAGGCUCAAAUUCUUGAUCUUUUAAUCAAAUUAUCAUUGAGAUAAAAAUUAUUUACUUAAAUUUUUUUAAUUAUUUAUUUUUUAUUUUCAAACUUUCAUAAUUUAUUCAUAGUAACUCGGAUUUAUAUAUUUUUUAUACUAUUGAAAAGAAAAAAAAAUAUUGUUGAAAUACAUUUUUUUUACUUUUAUUUUUUAUUUUUUAUUAGGUGAAAAAUAAGUGAAUAGAUUGUGAUUAGUUUUGUAAAGUACAAUUGCUUGAUUGCACUUCUUUCACUUGUUUUUAUAUUGUGCUUCUUUUAUUUUUGUUCUUGCUACUUCUACUUCACACCACCAAUUAUAAGUAAUUUAUAAUUAAAGCCAUCUUGUAAUUUGGAUUGAGGAAUGAAUUUUACACUCAUAAGCAAUAACUUGAAAACCAUUCUUAAUAGAGAUCCUAUAGUAAUUGAUAAAAAUCAAAAAAAAUUUAUAUAAAUUUGAUUAUUUUUUUAGAUCUUUUAAUCCAUGAUUAUUUGGAUUUUUUUAGAAUCAUUCAUAAGACUAUCAUUUAAAAUAAUGUAUACUAAAAAGUCAACUUAAGUAGUGUAAAAUAUACUUUUUCAUCUUGAUAAUCCAUGGUCAACCACCAUUUGAACCAUUCUAUAGCUUAUGAGUUCAAAUGAAUUACCUCGUGUCAUCAGUUAAUCCCCUUCCAUUAAUAUAGAACAUCUUCGUUUUGUUCCCAAUGGUAUCUCCAAAUUGUUUCUUAACAAUAGAUGAAGUUUUGUGUAAGUUUCUACAUUGCAUUGUAAAUAGGAUAACCUUUCUAAAGAACUUUGUAUUGAAGUUGUGGAUAUCUACUACCAUGACAAAGAUAGUGAUGUUCCAAAAAGCUGUCCACUUCAUAUUCUUGUUGGUCAUUAACUACAACUAGUGGUAGUAGUAGUGGUUGGUGUCGAUCUGGAAAGCACUUUGGCUCAGAAUGAAAUUCUUUCAGUUGUAAAACAUAGAAGAUUGGAUGGAUACAAAUAUGUUGCAAAAGCUCAAGGCAAUACGCAACAUCAAAAAUCAUUGUAGAAAUGUGGAAAGAUCUAAGCCACUCAGGUGCUAGUUUACAGAUUUGGAUUAAUGUAGCAAGUGAUUGUAAUUGUCAUUUUACUUAUUCUACAACUUCCUUUCAAAAUAAACAUGCAUAGGGAAAUUUGAAUAUAGAAAAAGACUAAGUGCAUAGCUUUACUUGUUAGGGUCACACGAUUAACUAUAUUCGAAACCACUAAAAUACCAAAAAAUACUACACUGCUUCCUUCCAAGAACAAUACUCCUUCAUCAACUAAUAACAACAAUGUACUACCUUGCACUCUUAAAAGACUACUCAAAACUCAUAAAUUCCAUCCAACACUAGGAAUAACAGACUUUAAUCCAACUAAUCUGGAUUCACAAAUUUUUUGUAAUCACAAACUUUCUUUAUCUAAAACAUACACAACUUUCAAUAAACAACAAUCAUAAUCUUCCAUCCAUGAUCAAUCUUCCAAUAACUUCUCAUAUAAUUCAAUCACAUAAUACUCCAAUUACAUAAUCAAUAACUCAUAAAUCAAUCUCUGAUUUAUUCCACAGACUCACUUCUCAGUAUUCAAAAAUUAUCCAUUACUCUUCAACAAUAAAGAAAACAAAGAAAACAAAGAGGUAGCACCAAGCUUAACCCCGGCUCAUGACUAUCACAAUCUGCCUCCCAACAAACUUCUACAAUUUCUAUAUAAUUGCUACUGAUUUUUAGAUCCUAACCACAAUCCUGUAAUAAACUGCUUUUAAUAACUAAAUCAACCAUCCGUUCUCUUGAACUGACUAUUCUAUGGACUAUUAAUCUAUUAUACCAAUAUCUUAUAAAAAUGAACUAAUAUCUAUUCUACAUAGCUCUAUUCCUGUUUGUGCAGCGUCUUUGCAAAUACACAAUUGAUUCCUAUCUAAAAUCUAUUUAACAAAACUCUACAAAAUUACUAGUUCCUCUAGCCUACCCAAUUAAUCAUUUGCUGUAUUAUUGAAUGUAGGUUCCACCAAUUCUGGUUCUAAAUUUAAAAUUUUUCUCCUCCUUCAAUCUGUCCAUCGGCUCCUUCUUCAACUGGUUUGAUAGAUCUUCAUUAUACUCACCUAAUUCACACACUUGAGCCUGUAGUUUCAAGUUCCGGGCAUCCCAAAGUUCCAAUUGAUGCUGCUGCUGACUCAUCCAUUCUGGAACAUCUUCAAUUAAUACUUGUGACUGACUUCUCACUGUUAACUCUUCUGUCAAUUUUGCCACCUCAGCUUGUAAAAUUUUGAUUUCGGACCUCAACUUCUGUAUUUCGCACCUGGAUUGGUCACUCAAUGCCUCUUUCUCUUUCGUCAAUAACUCUGCCUUGUCUCUUUCUAUUUAAAACUAGCAUUUGAGUUUUUCCCAUUCUAAAUCCCAUGUCUUGCAAUUCUGGAUCAAUUUGUCCCAUUGUCCUUCCACAAUUCAUAAGAUGUGUUAUUUUUCUUUCGUCCAAGAUUCAUAUUGGUGAACCCAUUUUCGCUCCAAUACUAGCUUGGAUUCUCUAAUUUCUUUUAUUGUCCAUUCUUACUCUUCAAUUCUUCAAUUUUGCUCUAAUAUCACCUUCUUAUUGUCUUCUAAAUCUCGUCUGCUACUGCCCUCUACAUCCAAUGCACGCACCAUACAAUGUAUUUGUGAAAUGUGCUUCAAUAAAGCAUUCUUAAGAGGUAUUCUUUUGGGCAAUUGACCUUAUCAAAACGCUAACUAAUUAAUAUCCAUCAAAAUUGGGAUUUCAUUCUCCUCUUCUAUCGCUAAAAAAAUUGAAACCAGUUCUAAUUCAAUAACUGGAAUGACCCCUUGUGCCACUGUAUGACUUGACUCCCCAAUUUUGUGUAUUAUAUCCGCUGUAUUGACAUUCUGUGCCAACAAAUUUUGUUCUCUCUGUGGAGGCACUAACACUGGUACAUGAUUUUCCUCUACUAGUGGUGUUUGACGCAAUAUGUGUGCAAUCACAACAUACACAUAAUUUGAACAAAGUAAAUAAGUAAUUUUUUCUAAUUUCUACUUGGCUCCUAUCUCCGCAUGAAUACGAGUGGCUACAUAUGCUACCCAAUUGAAUACCAUCCCUUCCAGCGCCCCUACCGCUGUCGUGUUGUAACACGAGUAUACCGUGAAAAUAUAAAGAAAGGGGACUUUUAUUAAUGUUCAGGUACCUCGAAUAUUGGGAGCAAUGACCAACUCCAGUACAAAUACUGAGUGGCCAGGUUCAGUCACCCCGUUACAGUCAGCUGGGGUAUACUGAAAUGCUCCGGUGAUUCCAAUAACAGGAGUCAGUAGGAAGAGAAAGGACCAAUUCACACGACGGGUGAGCCUGGUUCGAAGAACCAAUUGGAUCCAAUUUCAAGAAUCCAAUCCGGAUCCUCUUACCCAAUAUGAGACCUGAAUUGGCCGGACAACCCAAUGCAGUCUAAUUACGGAAAAGUCUUACUACGGGCCUCAGCCAAUCUGACGCAAAGGACCAAUUUGAUCCAAUUAUGGGGACAUCCGGGUCUUACUACUGGACUCUUAGUCAAUAUGAGACCUGAAUUGGUCGGGCGACUCAAUGUAGUCCCGAUUACGGGGUUUCGAUUCUGUUUCAAGCUGUCCUGUUCUCUGUGCCGUUUCAGGGAAUGUUGUUUUCGGUAAAAAGAUCUCUUAAAGGUAAAAAUGAGGGAGAAAGCUCUGAUGGCGAGAGCCAAUUUCGGAUCCAAGCUCUGACGAUGGGAGCCAAUUCCGGAUCCAAGACGGAAGAUUGAAGAAAUUCAGAGGAUAAGGUUAAGGGAGAGAAUAAGUUUUUGGGGAGUUUUUUGAAGAAUCAGAGAGAGCUAGCUUCAUGCUUCGGGCGGGAAAAGAAGUCAGAGAUAUGGAUUUUUUUUCUUCAUAGGAUUUUAGGAAGACUGAGACAAUCGUUGUUGAAGUCAGUGUUGUAAUGGUGAAUCGGGAUUUUUAAUGAAGUGGGUUUGAUUACUCUUGACUGUUUUGUGAAAUCGAGUUAUGUCUGUGAUGAAGAAUUAAAAGGGUGUCUAUAGGAUUGAGUAUGCGGAGUGAAUGAAAUUUAUUGGGUUAAUCUAACAAGACAGUCAGUGGAUACAAGAUCGUGAGUAUAAAGCGGUAUCGAAGAUUAGUAGUUUGGGUUGAUCGGGGUUCUCUGUAACGUCUAAAGACCUACCGGCUGGGGCAAAAAGGACUUCGACAAGCAGUCGAAGGGCAUCCGUAUAGAUUUACGGUGUAUUCUUGCAGUUGUUUGUAUUCCAACAGUCAAAAACUGAUAAAUUGCUUGAGUAUUGGCGAAUCUCCAUACUACUUUCUACAGCCACACGUCUGGUACGUUCUCGAGCAGAAAAGCACGUAAUACGACAAAAGUGGCGAACCCGACGUGAAAGCUUGAGGUGGAAGGUAUUGGAUUUUGUUUGAUUUUAUUUUUAUUUUAUGGAAAAUAAAAAUAAAAAUUUUGAAGGAUUUUUGGGAGGAGUUUUUGGUGGAGAUUCUUCAAAAAGAACAAAGUAUGCACAUGGAUCCGUCUAUUGCUAGUAUGUUUCAAGCCUUCUCAUUAUCAAUGCAGCAACAGCAAAGUAAUGAUCGAAAGGAAGCUUUGGCAACCAAAGCAUUGCAAGGAGUGGUCAAUAAAAUUGAUCAAUUUGAUGGGAGGAAUAUUUCAAGGUAUUUAAGAUGUUAUGUUCGUGAAAUGGAAUUAAAUCGGGUUUCUGAGAAGAAAAUGGUUGCACUAUUUGGACUUGCCAUAAUACCGGAGAUAAGGGAUCACAUUACAUCGAUUACGGAUCGUUAUGGGAAUUUAUGGGAGGUUUUUUCACAUGCAUUGAAAGACGAAUAUUUCUUGAAAGAUGUUGAUCGCGUUACUAAGAAGCUGUUUCUGGAAUGGAUUGAAUGGCCCAAUAAGAAUUUGCAAGCAACAGAGCUACUAAGGGAAUUUAAGAGGCAGUACUCUCAAUUGUCGAAGGUAGAAAAAUUGACAUUGGAGCCGAACAAAGUUGAUCUAUUUCUUCAAGCUGCUGAUGGAGAAUUGCAAGGAAAAUUAGAACUCCUUCUUGAAGACAAAGAAGAAGAUGAAGGAUUGACAACGAAGUGGAAGAACAUUGAAGAUGCGAUGGGGUUGCUUACAAAAAAAGAAAGGAGGAAGGAUAGGAGCAAUAUUCCGAAAACAGUACAAGCACCUAAAGCUCCAGUACGUACAACACCACCAACAAUGCCUACAGUUCAACCUUCGACAUCCUUAUCAAAGAAAGCAGAUAUAGGGAUAGAAGAAAUUAUACGAGGAAUACGAGAUCUUCAAAUCAAAUUAGCAAGGCUUGAAGAGAAUACUUCUAUAAACAAUUCGAAGAAUGUUUCAAAACAAGUAUAUGUACAAAGAUGCAUUUGGUGUGAUGAUGCUUCACACACUAGAAAAGAUUGCAAUGAAUUUAAUAAUAUGAUACGGCAGGGAAUUAUUUGCUGGAAAGAUGAGAAGAUAGCAUUGAAAGAUAGGGAUGAUCUUCUUCAAACCAAUUUUGGCAAGGGAGGAAUGAGAGCAUUGGUUCAAGAUUACCUAAAAGAGCAUGAAAUAGCAGCACGAGAAAGUACAAGUUAUGGUGCUAGAAUAGAUGAUGAAAUUGGUGGAAGUAUGGAAACUAGUGAGUUUUGGGCUUCUGCCGUUUCUACAAUGCAAGAAGGGAAAUUACCUCGAGAAGCGUAUUUGAAGACUGUAGCUACAAUACGAGGUAGAACAGGUUGGGAGGAUCCUGUUGAGUCUCUUUCAGUUCAUGCAUAUAUUGCUAAGAGCCAACAUGAAGCUUUGAUGGAAGAAAAGAGACGAGGAAAUUUUGAUGGUACUAGAGAAGAAAAUUCUUCUAAGAGGCAAACUCGAGGAGACAAGGCUCGGGAGGCAGCUUCACAAGAAUUACCUGUAAAGGAUGCCUUAGCAUCAUUGGGAGAAAAAACAAAGGAGACAAAAGAUAAGGGCAAAUCAAUUGCUUAUAAGCUACUUUCUGACAUUGAAGCGGCAACAAAUUUGAAAGGGGUGCUAGAAGAACGUAUAUUAAACGCUAAGGUGGAAUUCACAUUGAAAGAAGUCUUGGGAAUUGCAAAGAAGGAGUUUCAUGAUGUUAUCAUUGACAGCAUUAAGGGAAAGAGGCAAUUAAUGGGUGAAACUAGAAUGAGUCAUGCUAUUGAUGCAAGAAUAUAUAAAGAUGAAGAAAAGGUUGAUAUUGGUUACAAGCAACCAACAAAUGAAAAGAAUGUGUAUAAUCAACGAGUACGUUUUGAAGAUUCUAGUGAUAAGAAAAUGGAAACUUUGAGCCAUUAUACUCGAAAGCAUUGGACAAGGGCAACUACUGAGGUAUUGGUGAAAUUAGGAGAUAUAGAUGAACCAAUUUUUGCUUUAGUCGACGAUGGUUCUAAAAUAAAUUUUAUGUCUAAAGAUCUUUAUAAGAAGCAAAAAUGGCCAAUUGAUAUGGAACAUGGAUGGGCAAUACGAGCAGCUAAUAAUACAUGGGGCGAAUUAUAUGGAGCCUAUCCAGAUGUCAAAAUUCGGAUUGGGGAUGUUGCGACGGAGCAACAUUUCUUCGUUCAAGAUACAACGUCUUAUCCAUUGAUUUUAGGACAACCUUAUAUUAUAGCAACACGGAUGGAAAUAAAAGUACUUGACGAUGGUUCUGCUUAUGCAAGGGUACGUAGCGAGGAUGGGAGGAAAGCUGUUUAAUUUCUAACAGUACCUCCUAACCAUGAACGGAAUCGAGAUAGGUUGAGGGAGAAACCAUUGCCAAAGAUUGUUGAAGGAUUUAAGGAUUUUGGGAAAGUACCACUGUAAAGCGAGAUUAUGGAGGUACAAAAGAGGAGGUACUCUCGCGAGAUGAAGGUGCCUUUGAUGCGAGUUUUAUUGGUAUAUUGGAGAAUGGAAAUAUUAUGUAUAAGAAAGUUGAUGAUUUUAAAAGAAAAGAAAGAAAAAUAUUAUAUGAUAUUGAAGGAUAAUUACGCAAGUUAGGUACAUUGCAAGAUGAUGAGAGGAUUUUAGGUAUUUAUGAAGAAAAUGGACUGGAAGAUUCAUUGGGAUUGAUUACAUCUAUUGAAUUAGGGGAUAAUGAUAAGAUUGUUGAGAUUCAUUCAAGAGAGGUUUAUACCAUAUUUGAAUCUUUUCAAGCACCAGAAGUCACUGUAGAGACGAGAUAUAAAACGGCAGAUAAGAAGGUAAAGCCUGUUGUCCGACCAUUACCAGAAGAUUCUAAAGAACAAAUGGAAGAAGCAUCAAAAGAAGCAAGUUUAAGAGAUCCAAUGAGUAUUGGACAUCAGUUUACUAAAGAGACUUUUGAAGAAUUGAAGAUUGGUUCUGAUGGUUCUUUAUUACCGGAGGAAAUUACUUGCUUCAAAAAGAUGUUGGCUAAACAAGGUAGAUCGUUUGCUUUCGAAUCUCAUGAAAUUGGUUGUGUGGAUCCAAAUAUUAUAACACCUAUGGUUAUCUUCACUGUACCGCAUGUACCUUGGAAUCUAAGACCGAUUCCAGUAUCGAGGGCACAUUUACCUAAAUUGGUUGAGCUAUUAAAAGAAAAGAUAAAGAUGAAAAUAUUGGAACCCCCUGUUGCGCCGUAUUCUAGUCGAUGGUUUACGGUACCUAAGAAGAAUGGGUCACUACGGUUUAUUCAAGAUAUGCAACCGGUGAAUGCAGUAAUUGUCAGGAAUGCAGGAAUUGGACCUAUUGUGGAUGAAUUUGCUGAGGCGUUUACUAGAAGGGCGAUCUAUUCAAUGGGUGAGUUGUAUUCAGGUUAUGAUCAAUUUCAACUUGCCGAAGGAAGUAGAGAUAUGACAACAAUGAGGACACCACUUGGAUUGGUUAGAAUGUGUACUCUUUCUCAAGGCGCGACCAACUCAGUUGCGCAUAUGAUGAAUGGGAUGAAUAAGGUAUUGAGAGAUUUUAUUCCGGAAAAGACUAUGCCUUUUCUGGAUGAUGUUCCUAUAAAAAGGUGCAGAGAAAGAGACAAGGAUGAAACUUUAGAUACGAGGAGGUGUCGCAAAUAUGUUCUUGAUCAUAUACAAGAUUGUGAAAAGAUUUUAAUUCGGCUUGGAGAAGUUCAUCUUACAUUAUCGGGUAUGAAGUCCGUAUUUGGAGUAUGAGAGGUUGUGAUUGUUGGACAUUUAUGUGGAUCUUACGAAAGAAAACCAGAUCCGACUAAAGUUGAUGUAAUUAAAAAGAUGAAAGAGGAUUGUGAUUUUUUAACAAAGGCUCGCAGGUUUUUGGAUGCAUGUGUAUUUUAUCGAAUCUGAAUCCCUCAUUUUGCUCACAUAGCGGAUCCAUUAUAUGAACUGUUACGCAAGGGUUACCGAUUUAAAUGGGAAGAAAGGCAUAUUCAGGCAAUGCAAAGAUUGAAGAAAUUAUUGAUGUCACCUCCAAUAUUGAGGAAGGUUGAUUAUAAGUGCAAUAGACCAAUGAUUCUUACUGUGGACGCUAGUCCAAUUGCCAUUGGAUGGGCUGUGGGUCAAGAUGAUUCUAAUGGGAAUAGAUUUGCAGUUCGAUUUGGGGCUAAAGUUUUAAGUAUUCGUCAGUGUGCAUAUUCGCAAGUCAAAAGAGAACUUUGGGGAGUUAUUUCGGCUAUGAAAGCUGAAAAGGACUAUUUGAUUGGGACAGUAGUAGUAAUUGAAACAGAUUGCUUGCCAUUGCUUGGAAUGAUUACUAACUGUUCAACGCCAGAUAUUGUAAUAUUGAGAUGGAUUGUUUAUAUUAAGUCACUAAAUCCGGAAUUUAAGCAUGUUACUGGGAAGGACAAUUUAGUAGCAAUCAUGCUAUCUCGAGCAAGAUACGAGAGAGAGGACGAAAUGGUUGAAGACAUUGAUGACGUCGAAUUGAAAUUCUAUUCAAUAUCAAAUCUCAACAAGGAAGACAAGCUAUUUCUUGAAGAAUCUUUUGAAGGAGAAUUAUUGGAUAUUGGUCAUUACUUGAAUACCUUGUCUAAGCAGGAGAAUUGGUUUACAGAAAAAUUCAAACAAAUAAGAAAAAAAGAAUAUGGAUUUUUACUUCGAAAUGGAUUCUUAUGGAAGAGACCGAAGAAAGGAAUUGGGAUGCCACGACAAGUGAUAGGCAAAAGGGAAGAAAAACUAAAAUUAUUAAAGGAGUUUCAUGAUAGUUUAUGGGCAGGGCAUAGAAGAAUCUGGACUACUUUUGCUAAACUCAAGGAACGAUAUUGGUGGAAAAAUAUGUAUCGAGAUGUGCUCUCAUUUGUAGAGUCAUGUAAAAUCUGUCAAUCGUAUUCUAAUAUCCGACAUCGAGAUGGUCUUCAUCCUACGUAUCCUCUGGCUAUUCAUUUUAAAUGGGUUGUUGAUUUGGUUAUUAUGCCAGUUGUAUCAUGGCAGAUGAGAUAUUUGGUUUUAGCUUAUGAAGAUUUAUCAAAUCAAGUAGAAGGAAGAGCAUUGAGGACAAAAUCUACAGAGGGAAUUUGUAGGUUUUUGCUUCAAGAUGUCAUUUGCCGCUACGGAUGCAUAGGAAAAAUCACUGCAGAUCGUGGGGAAUUAAAUGCACAAGAAGCUCGUAAGUUCUUUGAAAGGUGUGGAGUUAAACUAUCACUGACUACUGCUUAUAAUCCAGAAGGGAAUGCAAAAAGCGAAUGCGGUCACCCAUCGAUUGUGAAAGCAUUAGUUAAAGCUUGUAAUGGAAAAGUUAAAGAGUGGCCACGGCUUUUGUCAUUUGCAUUAUGGGCUGAUCGAACAACACAUAGUUCGGUGACAGGAUAUAUGCCAGUAGAACUUAUGACAUGUCGAAAACCAAUUAUGCCGAUUGAAGAAAAGGUACUUACUUGGAGUAUGCUACCAUGGGAAGAUGGAUUGACAAGAGAAGAACUUCUGGCUAUUAGGAUUCGACAAUUGGAGCAAAGAUCGGAAGAUGUACAGAUAGCAUUGGAAAGGUUAAAAAGAGUAAGGUUACGAAACAAGGCGCGAUUCGACAAGCAACAUCGAUUGAGACCUAAAGCAAUCGAAGAAGGUGACUGGGUACUUGUUUAUGACAAUAGUCUAGAUAAUCAACAUAGCACUUUGCGGAAAUUUUCAAAAUGUUGGUUUGGACCAUAUGUAGUAACAACUGUUCAUGAUAAUGCGACCUACUCAUUACAGGAGUUAGAUGGUACAAAAUUGAAAAUACCAAUUUCAGGGAAGCGAGUAAAAAUAUUUAAACGAAGACAUGUGGAGAUGAAUAUGGAAGACCUUAAUGAAGGUAUAGAGAUUGUACAGCAAGAAGAUGAAAGUGAUUUGAAUAAUGAAGGUGACGAAGACAAACUGGACAAAGACGUAGAGGAUAUAUUCUGAAUCAAACAGCAAUUGAAUAAAUUGGUGCAUACCGGAGGAUGCACAGGUUCAGAGGGGGUGGAUGUCGUGUUGUAACACGAGUAUACCGUGAAAAUAUAAAGAAAGAGGACUUUUAUUAAUGUUCAGUUACCUCGAAUAUUGGGAGCAAUGACCAACUCCAGUGCAAUUACUGAGUGGCCAGGUUCAGUCACCCCAUUACAGUCAGCCGGGGCAUACUGAAAUGCUCCAUUCGAUUCUAAUAACGGGAGUCAGUAGGAAGAGAAAGGACCAAUUCACACGACAGGUGAGCCUGGUUCGAAGAGCCAAUUGGAUCCAAUUUCAAGAAUCCAAUCCGGAUCCUCUUACCCAAUAUGAGACCUGAAUUGGCCGGACAACCCAAUGCAGUCUAAUUACGGGAAAGUCUUACUACGAGCCUCAGCCAAUCUAACCCAAAGGACCAAUUUGAUCCAAUUACGGGGACAUUCGGGUCUUACUACUGGACUCUUAGCCAAUAUGAGACAUGAAUUGGUCGGGCGACUCAAUGUAGUCCCGAUUAUAGGGUUUCGAUUCUGUUUCAGGCUGUCCUGUUCUCUGUGCCGUUUCAGGGAACGUUGUUUUCGGUAAAAAGAUCUCUUAAAGGUAAAAACGGGGGAGAAAGCUCUGAUGGCGAGAGCCAAUUUCGGAUCCAAGCUCUGACGAUGGGAGCCAAUUUCGGAUCCAAGACGAAAGAUUAAAGAAAUUCAAAGGAUAAGGUUAAGGGAGAGAAUAAGUUUUUGGGGAGUUUUUUGAAGAAUCGGAGAGAGCUAGCUUCAUGCUUCGGGCGAGAAAAGAAGACAGAGAUAUGGGUUUUUUUUCUUCAUAGGGUUUUGAGAAGAGUGAGGCAAUCGUUGCUGAAGUCAGUGUUGUAAUGGUGAAUCGGGAUUUUUAAUGAAGUGGGUUUGAUUACUCUUGACUGUUUUGUGAAAUCGAGUUAUGUCUAUGAUGAAGAGUUAAAAGGGUGUCUAUAGGAUUGAGUAUGCGGAGUGAAUGAAAUUUAUUGGGUUAAUCUAACAAGACAGUCAGUGGAUACAAGAUCGUGAGUAUAAAGCGGUAUCGAAGAUUAGCAGUUUGGAUUGAUCGGGGUUCUCUGUAACGUCUAAAGACCUACCGGCUGGGGCAAAAAGGACUUCGACAAGCAGUCGAAGGGCAUUCGUAUAGAUUUACGAUAUAUUCUUGCAGUUAUUUGUAUUCCAACAGUCAAAAACUGAUAAACUGCUUGAAUAUUGGCGAAUCUUCAUACUACCUUCUAUAGCCAGACACCCGGCUCGUUCUCGAGCAAGAAAGCACGUAAUACGACAUCGCUGCAUACAAUAACCGUUUGGACAUAUAUGUGGGGUGUCGGUACAAUCCUAACCGCCUCACCACAAAACAAAAUCAUUCCACGAGAUCUGAUAAAAUUACCUCAGCAGUCCGCCAACCUUGGUUCCUUUCAAAGGCUGAAAUACUUCCCUUAAAAUAUCUUCUUGGACUGAAGUCGCUUGAGUCAUCAACUCCGACCACAAUCUCUCCAAUAGGAAGAAAUAUCAUCUUUUCUAGAAUUGGUCCAUCAACCCCGAUAAUUUGUGCUUGUACCAUAUUCGGUCCAUCUUCUGGGUCGUAGUUUGCCAUAUAUUCUUCCACUAAUGAGACAUUAAUUGAUGGUAAGCGAUCUGAUAGGUACAAAAACUAGAACAACUAUGCAUUCCAAAAGUCUUUUAUUCUUUUCGACAUCCAAUAAAUCUCUAACUUCAUCGGCUCCAUAUUGGUAACAAUUAUCACAGAAGGUAGUUUUGAUGCACGUCUAGCUUUCACAUUUCGUCCACUGUCCUCUUUGUCUACAACUUGCUUUGCACUUUCAAUUGCCAUGAUGCUUCCUCUCUCAAACUCUUAACUGGAACUACUCUGCUCGAAAAUGUAAGGAACACAAGAAAUAACAAUCUCAAAAAAAAAAUAACCAAGAACGACAACACAAAAUAACCUCUAACUGGUGCCACACUCCUAUUCUUUUUACUACCUAGUCAUAAUGACAACAUGUUAAUCAUAUUGUCCGUUUCUCACCUCCGUCCCAUCUAACAUAUUAAUAAUUACUAACUAUCUUUUCAGCCGCCUCUACACCCUAACGCACUUAUACCAUACUUAGGUCUACCUUGUGUCCAUUCGAAGUCACCCCCCUAAAAAAAUAAAAACUAGUCCCGAAUUUUAUGUAUUAUAUAACCAUAAUUGGUUCCCAUUAAUGCGGGUACUAAAGCGAUGGCCCAUGAAGUCCUCUAAUUGAACAGACCCAUUAAAAAAACCUUCAACCACGUAAUACGGCCCAUACCAACGAACUUGAAGUUUUCACAAAAAAUGAUUAAAUCGGCUAUGAUACAGUACUACCAAAUCAUUGGGCAUAAAGAUCUUCGGACGAAGUUUACUAUUAUAGUAAUUCUUCCUUCGUUUUUGAAUCGCUUCCAUGUUGAAAAGAGUUGUAGUCCAUAUUUCAUGCAAUUCUUCCAAUUUUGCCAACCGAGAAUGUAAUGAUUCUUUGUCACUGAUUCGUUCAUCCAAGGUAAUCCGUAAACUUUGAACCUCCAACUCGAUGGAUAAAAUUAACUCUUGACGAUAAAUUAGUUGAAACGGAGUAGAGUUGGUAGUUACUUUAUAUGCGGUGCAAUAUGCCCACAAAGCCAGAAAGAGUUUGGUCUUCCAAUUGGUACCUGCCCCAAAAAUUGUCUUAGUCAAUAUCUUGCACAAAAUUCUGUUGGUCUUUUUUGUUUGCCCAUUAGCACGAGGAUGAUAUGGAGUGGAUUUUUGAUGCUUAAUCUCAUAUGUGUUUGUCAAGGCUGCUAUGGUAGCAUUGAGGAAAUGGGUGCCACGAUCGCUAACCAAUUCCUUCAGAUAUCCAAAUCAAGUUAUAAUAUUCACGUAUAAAAAAGUAGCCACCGUACUGGCAUUAUUAUUGCGAGUACCAAUAGCCUCUAUCCAUUUGGUUAUAUAGUCCAUAGCGACUAAAAUAUAUCACUUUUGACUAGAUUUUAAUGCUGGUGUGAUGGAACUGACAAAAUCAAUAUCUCAUUUUUCGAACGGUGCCAGUGCCAAAAUUGGAACUAAUGACAUGGCAAAAAUGCCCAUGGAUCGACCAAUUCGUUGACAGGGAUUACAAUGACGAAAAAAUUGGUACGUAUCAAAAAACAUUGUGGGCUACUAAUAUUCGACCAUUAAAGCCUUGCGAGCAAUACUAUCUCCCGCAAAAUGACUACUACAACUAUCUAAAUGGCAAUCUUCGAGGAUCGACUGUACUUCAGUUGAAAAGAUACAGCGGCAUAAAAUACCAACUUUACCUUAUUUAUACAAAGCAUUGUGAAUCAUCGUGUACAGGGCAUUCUUCAAAAUGAGUCGCUUCUUAAGCUUCUCGGUGAAAGAUGGCAGAAAGGUGUCGAAGGUCAAAAACUGAAUGAUUUUACUAUAUUUGGGGGAAAUUACAUCCACCACAAAUAAUUUGACGUUAUGAAGAGCAUCCAGGAUAGGCUCGGUUCCAAGAAUAUUAGACAACUGAGAUAAAUGAUCAGCAUUGGCAUGUUUCUUCCCAAGUUGUACGACAAUCAUAAAAUUGAACUCUUGUAAGAGUAAGACCCAUCGGGCAAUGCGCCCACUCAAUUGAGGCUUAUUAAUCAUGUAUUUGAAGGCAUCAUGAUCCAGAUAAAAAACAAACAAAUACCCAAGCAAAUAGUGUCAAAAUUUUUGAACCGAGCAUAUUAUACCCAACGCUUCUCGUUCAAUAGUAGUGUAAUUGCAUUCGACAGCCACUAAUUACCGAUUGGCAUAAUAGAUAGGAUGAUCCAGACUCUUGUCAUCCUUUUGACUUAACAUCGAUCUAAUAUCCACAUUGGAUGCAUCAACGUACAUAUAAAAGGGCUCCGUCUAACGAGGAGCCACCAAUAUUGGUGCAGAGAUCAAUUUUGACUUCAAUGCUUCAAAGGCCACAGUACACUCCAUGGUGCAGAUGGGACUAGUCCCAUCUGAUGGAGGUUUCUUCAGUAAGUUCAUUAAAGGUUGACAAAUAACUGUGAAUAAACGAAUGAAUCUUCGAUAAUAACUGACAUGGCCUACAAACACAUGAACACUGAAGACCGUCUCUAGUCUUGACAAGUUCAUUAUAUGUUGCACUGUGAUUGCUUGUUUUACUUAUUCUGAAUUAAUCUAAUGGGAAUAAACUCAUAUAGGGGGAUUGGAACACAGGAAAUGACUAGUUGCUUAAGCGUUCACCUUAAGGUCACACAAUCAAUUACCUCCUGAAUGUAUCGUCUCUAUUUCCAAUAUCUGAACACACAAGGAAACUAUAAUCUCCUCCUUCACCUUAUCGGUCUCUUCCUUACAACAAUUCAGUCAUACCAAUAACUACUAUUUCUACCAAUAUAUUCACCCUCAUAAUCUCCAACUGUAAUACUGCGCCCUCACAGCUUUCAGUACAUAAUUACCCUCAUUCCAAUCAUUGGAAUUCUUUACACAGAACUGCCAUUCACAAUACGGUGUCGUGAUGUAACAUGGAUAACAAAUGAAAGGCUGGAAAAAAAAAAGAAAAGAAAAAAAGAUCAUGUUUGAGGAUCUCACUUCAAAAAUAUUGUAGCAAAUUAUCUUGGAAAAAUAGAUAUUAGUCAAAGGAUAGAAAAAUUAAAGGUGCUAAUGCUGCCUUUUUACAAAUUAUGCUUCUAUUUACUUUGUAAGGCCAUAAAUAAGACAAAACAAGGUAGAUUAGAAAAAUAAAGAAUAUAGGCAUAUGUAGGGAGGAAUUAGGAGUGCAAAUUAGUAAAAAUUACCUCAAGAAGAUGAAAGUUGAUACCCGAAGAGGACCGGUUAUGAACCUGGGUCGAAAUCAGAUCCCGAGGCACAAAACCGUGCUCUGACGGCGAUUCAAGGACUCUUUGGCAGAUCGGAGAGUGGGGUUUGAUAGAAGAUUGAAUAGGGUUUCUAUGGGUGUUGAUUUUGGGUGAUUUGGAUCUGUAUUGACUUUGUAAUAGCUUUGCAAAGUCAAGGUUUGUUUUGGAUGACUCGGAUUUUAUGAAAUAAAAUAAGGUUUAUAUUUUGGAUGAUUUCAAGAGAUUUUUUAUAGAUCUACAAGUGAAAUUUUGUGGGUCUAUGUUUAUAGUUGUGUUUAAUAUGUAUAGUGAAUUUGAGCUCGAUCUAACAGUUGAAUUGAAGGAUAUUGAGGUUUAAGUGGGUCAAGAUCUCAGAAAGUAGAAUUUUAGGUCUAGUGAGGUUUUUUAAGAUUUCUUGCAAUCUACGAGUUGGAUUGGAGUGAAACUUAUGUGAGAGGAUAUUAGACUUGUUUUCCUAUGCGUAUGAUAAUUUUGAGAUCAAUCGAAUGGUGCAAAGCAGAGAUAUUGGCUCUAGAAGAUUGGCAUUAAGAUUGGAGAAGGAGGCUGGCCAAUACCCGAGCACAUUUUUGAGGAUAUCGUCAGCUUGGUACUCCGAUCCUUAUCAAUUUUUUUUGUGCUUGUUUCUAACUUAUUUUUUUAGAAGUUUGUAAAAUUUGAGUUAAGAUCAAUAGUUUAUUCAUUAGUUAUUGGAGUUUAAAUCUGUUAUAGGAAUUACUAGGAUUUAGUUUAGGAUUUGGUUAGGAUUUGAUUUGGGGUUUAGGAUUUGGAUUAGGAUUUGAUUUAGGAUUUAGGGUUUGGUUUAGGAUUUAGGCUUUGAUUUAGGAUUUAGGGUUUGAUUUAAGAUUUAGGAUUUGGAUUAGAAUUUGAUUUAGGGUUUAAGAUUUGGAUAGGAUUUGGUUUAGGGUUUGGUUUAGGAUUUAGGGUUUGGAUUAGGAUUUGAUUUAGGGUUUAGGAUUUGGAUAGGGUUUGAUUUAGGAUUUAGGAUUUAGAUUAGGAUUUGGUUUAGGAUUUGGAAUUUAGGAUUUGGAUUAGGAUUUGAUUAGGGAUUAAGGUUUGAUUAGGAUUUGGUUUAGGAUUUAAGGUUUGUCUAGGGUUUUAUUAAGAUUGGAUUAGGAUUAGGAUUUGGUUAGAAUUUAAGGUUCUAUUAGAUUUUUGUUAGGAUUUGACUAAGUUUUUUUUAAUAUUUUUUUAUAUUUCUUUAGGAUUUCUUUGUGUUUCUUUUAUAACUUCAAUAAAAUUUAAUUGAACUUGCUUAAUGUUUGAUUAUGAUUGUUAAUAUUUAAUUGUAAAUUCUCUAUAAUCCUAUUGGAUUUUUAGGACCUUUUGUUGUAAUUUUCUUUUACCUUCCACAGCCAAGUGCUCGAUGCAUUCUCAAGCAAGACUUCACGUAAUACGACAACGAUGUUUCACACAAACACAAACUCAUUCUCUCUGUUGAACUACAAUCAAAUUUCAGCAUUCAAUCUUUCUUCUUCUCAAAUAAUACCAAUCACAUUUCCAUUCCAUAAUUCACUUUACAAUAUUCAGAAACUCUCAAUCCUCUUAUUCAAAGAAAAUAACAAACAAAAAAAAAGAGGUAGCACCAAGCUUACCUCGGCUCACAACUAUCACAGCAAUGGCCCUCGGCUCAUGACUAUCACAGUCUGGCACCUUAAUUAACUUCUACAACUCUUAUAUACUUUCCCUUGAUUCUCCAGAUUCUAACCAUAAUUCUGUAAUUAACCACUUUUAAGAAUUAAAUCACUCAUCCAUGCUCUUGAAUUUCCUAUUAUAUGGACUAUUAAUAUAUUUUAUUAAUAUCUUUCAAAAAAAAAUUAAUUUCUAUUCUACAUGUACUUUGUCAGGAUCCGUAGCAAUACCAUGACUGGAAAUGAUAUGUCCCAAUAAUUUUUCAGAUGGAAUACCAAAUUGACACUUCUUUGAGUUCAAUGAUAUUCCAAACUUAACGCAUUGAGCCAAAUAUUUGCCUAGACAAUUAAGAUGAUCUUGUUUUAUAUUGAAUGUACAAAAGUCAUCUAAAAAGAUCUCUAUAAACAACCGAAGAUAGUCUUGGAAGGCGUGAGUCAUCACUCUCUAAAACGUGGCUGGGACGUUGCAUAACCCAAAAGACAUCAUGCGAUAAGCAAAUGUGCCCCAAUCUGUAAUAAAGGUCGUCUUAAGCUGGUCUUCCAUUACAAUUUAAACUUCAUUAUAUCCAAAAAAUCUAUCAAGGAACGAAUAACAUUCGUCACCAACUAUAGCAUCUAAUAUACUAUCUGUGAAAGGCAAUGGAAAGUAAUUCUUCUUAGUGGCCGCAUUAAAUUUGCAGAAAUCCUGAUAAAUGUAGAUUUUUCCAUUCUUUUUUGGCACCAUGACGAUUGAAGAAAUCUACUCGCUAUUUAGUAUUGGGUAAAUAAAACCAACCACAAGAAGCUUGUCUAAUUCUUCCUUCACCAUGAAGGAAUAUUUAGGAUUAAGGCGAUGUUGCCUUUGUUGUACCAAUUUAGCAUUCUCCUCUAAAAUGAUAUGAAGCUCACAAACGUCAGCGGAAAUACCCUUUAAAUCAGCAUAAGUUCAAGCAAAAGUGGACUUAUGAUGCAAGAAAAAUUCUGUCCAAUAGGUCAACUCAUAGUCCUUAAUAUCUUCGUAGACCUUAAUUGUCCAUGGCUCUGCUGUGGUCACCAAGUUAAUAGUUUGACAUAAGUCUUGACUAUUCUAUAGACUAUUAAUCUAUUUUAUCAAUAUCUUACAAAAAAGAACUAAUAUCUAUUCUAUAGUGACAAGUUGGCAUUAAAGAGUAAUACCUGAUCACCUUUCUAGAAGGUCUUAUGUUGCCAAUAGUUAUUUGUAUACUACUUCCAUCAAUUCUGUAUAGUAAAGAGGCGAUGCUAUGCUUCUUGUAAGGUUAUUGUAAGCCAUUGUAUAAAUUCUUUUGUUGUUUGGUUGUUGGUGUCGAUAGGAUGAUAGAGAGUUGCUUGCGUAAUUAGAUACUAAUUAAUAUUAAGAAAAAAUAGUAAAUUAUUUGAACAAUACUUACCAAAAACUUCUUAUGAAGCGUAGAUUUUGAUUUGAAAUGAUGACACAAGAUAAUUCAUGGUCACAAAAGAUAGUAUCAAAGAAAACUCGUGCAAGUAUUGUCAUGAUGUAACAUAGUUAAUAUGUGAAAGAGUGUAAAAAUUAUUUUAUUAUAGAAGAUCUUAGUUCAAAAUAUUUUAGCAAAUUAGCUUAAAAAUAUAGAUAAUAGUCAAAAGGGUAAUAAAAUUAAAAAAAUACUAAUAUUUCUUUUUACAAAAUAGACUUCUAUUUACUUUAUAGGACCAUAAAUUAAGUAAAAUAAAGUAAAUUAAAAAAUUAAAUGAUAUAAGCAUAUAUAUAAAAAAAUUAAGACUAGAUUUUAGUAAAAUUUACCUCAAAAAGCUAAGAAUUGAUACCCAAAAAGGACCAAUUGUUAACUUAGGUUGAAAUCAUACUUUGAGGCACAAAAUUGCACACCUACAGUGACUCUAGGGUUCUUUUGGAGAUUAGAGAGUGAUAUUUCAUUGCAAACUUGAUAGGAUUUUUAUGAGUAUUGAUUUAGUCUGUUUUGAAUUUGUAAUGACUUUGUAAGAGCCUGACAAAGUCAAGAAUAUUUUGGAUGACUUGAAUUUUUAUGAAAUAAAAUAGGAUUGAUAUUUUAGGCAAUUUUAAGAGUUUUAUAAUAGAUCUAUAAGUGAAAUAUUGUGGAUUAAUGAUUACAGUUAUGUUUAAUAUGUAUUAUGAAUUUUAGCUUGAUCUAAUAAUUGAAUUAAGGAUUAUUGAAGUUUAAGUGGAUUGGGGUCUUGGAAAAUAGAAUUUUAGAUCUAAUAAGAAUUUUUAAGCUUUCUUAUAAUCUAUUAAUUGGAUUGGAGUGAAAGUUAUGUGUAUAGAUAAUAGACUUAUUUUCUUACAUAUAUGAGAAUUUUGAAAUCAAUUAAAAUGUACAAAAUGGAGAUGUUAGAACUUGAAGAUCAGCAUUAAGGUUGGAAAAGGAGGCUAGCCAACAUCCAAGUAGAUUUUAGGAUUUUUCUUCUAUUUUGCAAAUGUGAUUGUCUUCAAAUUUGUUACAUUUGUUUAUAACUAAGAAAUUAAGAGGUGUAUAAAAUUUUAAACAAGAUCAAUGGUUUAAUCAAAAGUUAGUAAGGUUCUGAAUUAUUUUAGGAUUUGAUUUAGGAUUUAGGAUUUGAUUAAGGUUUGAUGAAGAUUUGAUUUAAGAUUUAGGAUUUGGUUAGAAUUUAGUUUAGGGUUUAGAAUUUGACUAAGAUUUGGUUUAGGAUUUAGGAUUUGGUUAGAAUUUGGUAAGAGUUUGAUUUAGGAUUUAAGAUUUGAUUAGAAUUUUAUUAGGAUUUGAUUUAGGAUUUAGGAUUUAAUUAGGAUUUAGAUUAAGAUUUAAGAUUUUUAUAAGAUUUGGUAUAGGAUUUAGGAUUUGGCUAGGAUUUAAUUAGAAUUGAAUUUAAGGUUUAGGAUUUAUCUAGGAUUUGGUUUAGGAUUUAGGAUUUUUUAAGUUUUGAUUGAAAUCCAUUAGGAUUUCAACUAGAAUUACAUUAAAACUUGAUUGAGAUUUAUUUAAAAUAUAUUAUGAUUAUUUUAAUAUUUUUUAGUAUUUCUUAAGGAUUCUUUUAAUAUUUAUUGUGGAUUAUCUUUCAACUCUUUUAAGAUUUCUAAGUUUUUAUUUGGAAUUUCUUUAAGGUUUCUUUUAAAUUUGAUUAAAGCUUGUUUAGCAUUGUUAAGAUUUAAUUAGAGUUUAUUUAGUAUUCUAUUAUAAUUAAGAUUUUUUUGUUGGAAUUUUUAUUCUAUCUUCUAUAGCCAGAUGCUUGGUGCACUCUGAAGCAACAGUUCACACAAUACGACAAUAUUGAAGCAUCAAUAUUCAAAUGCACUAUGGCCAAGUGAAGUUGCUUUGAGAGUUGAUUCACAAAGACAGCAACUGUCAUAUGAUUAUAAGGUGUCUACAACAAACACAUAAUGAGAUUCAUAAUCACUUCCUUUCAACGUACCGUAGGUAGCAGAAUUAGCUGUAAUAGUUUAGAAGACAUUAUAUUGUGUACUUUAUUACAUUGACAUGACUCGCAGGAGCAUACAAAGGCUCAAACAUUAUAAUCCAAACCUAUCCAAAAUCAUAUCCUUAAGAUUUAUUCUAGAGUCUUUUCUCGUCCAAAAUAUCUAAAUAUUGGAAUGUCAUAUCCUUCUUGAAGUAUGUACAUUUGGAGUUUAACAUUAUCAUGUAUAUAACUUUAUUUCUUAAAAUAGAAUAAGCCAUCAUUAAGAGUAUAAUCUUGAUAUUCUAUAUUAUCCAACUUCAGCCAAUUGCUAACUAUUUUGAAGUAAGCAUCUCGAUGCAUAGCUUCUUUCUAUUUUAUUUCUUUGAUUAGAUCUGAAAUGACAUUACUAAUAGUAGCAACUUCUACCUUCUCUCUUGAUUUGUCUUUCAAAUCUGAUCUUUGCAAUAAGCUAUCUAUUACAGUAUGUUGUCAUCAUUGCUUGUACUCAAGCUAUAUAUCAAAAAACUACAACUGUUCUUUUCAACAAUAAUGCUGCAAUUUUAUAUUUUUUACAUGCAAAUCAUAUAACAAGGGUUGAUGGUCAGUUCAAACAACCAUUGGCUUUUCCAAUAGAUAGUGUCACCAUACCUUUGUGGUGAAUAUAAUCACUAAUUGUUCUCAAUCACGUGUAGAGUAAUUACAUUCUACUCUUUUGAAUUUGCGUGAUUUAUAUGCCAUAAGUCAAAGGUCCCUAUCAAAGUCUUAUUGAAGGAUCACUCCAAUAUCAAAGUCAAAAGCAUCAAUGUUAAGUGUAUAAAGAAGAUUAAGAUCAUAUAGUUGCAAUAUUAAAGCAGUAAUAAGUACCUCUUUCAAGUUAUCAAAGGCAUUUUAAUGCUCUAAUUUCUAUUAAAAUGGAACACCUUUUUAUAAUAUAUUUAUCAAUGAGAUAAUAAUAUUAAUAAAUCAUCAAAUAAAAUGAUAAUUUUAUCUAAUAAGGCCUAAAAAUGAACAAACUUCAGAAGCAUCUUUAAAAAUUGGCCAUUCUUCCAUUGCUUUCAUCUUAUUUUGUUCUAUAUACAUGCCUUUGAAGGAUACCACAUGCUCCAAAAAUAUGACUUUUGACUUCUAAAGUUCAUAUUUUGAUUACUUACAAUAGAAGUGUCUAUCUUGUAGCUGGUGUAAUACUUUUCAAAGAUGUUACUCAUGCUCUUUAGAGAUUUUACUAUAUAUAAGGAUAUUAUUAAUGAAGAUGACUACAUAUUUGUCUAACAAAUCUCAAAACAAUCUAUUCAUCUAACCUAUGAAAGAGGUUGGAGUAUUGGUGAGGCCAAAGGAUAAAACCAGCCAUUCAAAAUAACCAUAGCACAUACAAAAUAUCAUCUUUUUUACGUCCUCUCUUCCAAUAGGUAUUUGCCAAUAGCCACUCUGAAGAUUGAAUUUACUAAAGAUAAUCAGUGUGAGCUAAAUUCCUCCACCCUUAAUUGCGUUUAGUAGUCAAGUGGAUUAACUUCACUCACACGCAAUUUUUAUAAACCCUAAGUUCAUCCAUAAAUCCUAAGUUCAUCCAUAAACCCUAAGUUCAUCCAUAAAUCCUAAGUUCAUCCAUAAACCCUAAGUUCAUUCAUCUUAAAUUUCCCUUCAUCAAUCAUCCAUCCCUUAAAUCUCAUUCAUCCUAUAACAUUCAUUCAUUCAAAGUUUGUUCAUCUAAUUUUCAUCUAAAGAUUCAUUCAUCCAACCAUAAGUUAACUUAUCAUCCAACUGACAAUUCGUGCAAUUGACCUAAUUCAUCCAAGAUUCAUCCUAAAAAUUAAAGAAAAUUGGAAGUCGCCACCUUCCAAGUCAUGGUAGCGACCCCCUUGCACGAAUUCCACUACAAUGGUUGCAUCACUAACUUGUUUAUAACAAGCUUUGCUAUUUUAGAAAGUAGACUUACAAGCGCUUGUCCUCCAACAAAAUUCAAUGCAAAACAACAAUUAAGCUAAAAGAAAUCUUGCCUCAAAGUUGCCUGACUUUCUCGGCCUAGUCAGAGCAUCCCUGGCCACAAAAACCCUUGCCCUUGCUUCAUUCCAAUUGUGCAAUGCAUAUGCUUUAGCAUUCCAAAAACUAGAAUUGAAGCCGCAUCACCUUCAACAAUUUUUUCUUGAAAAUCUUGAGUGAAUUCCAAGAUAUGACCUUCCAAAGUAGCUUGAGUUGGCGGAGUGCUACAUCUUCACCACGGCCGACUCCUCUUCACUCCAACCACCAUAACUUCCUUGGCCUUUACUCAAUCUAAGCGUGCAAAUAAUCCUUACAAAGCUGACAACAAGAACCAUCCCCCACAAAAGUUUCAGCUCCAAAUUCAAUACUGUCCGCCAACACUCGCCUUCCAAAGUCGGACCUCCAGAUCUGGCCGGCAGCUGACCUCCUUGUCACUAAAACCACCACAACUUUCUUGUUUUCUCUCCAAACAAAGCGUGCCUACUGUCCCGAGGGAGCUAACGACAAGAUCUAACUAUUGGUAAAUUUUGACGUUCUAUUUCCAGAUAACUAAUACACUACAGCUGUGCAGUUGCAGCUAUAUAGGAACAAGGGUACGUGGGGAUGUAAUUUGGCAUGGCUUCGCUCCAAAAAAAAAAAAAAGAGAGAGAGUGAGUGUGGCCACCCCCACCCUCUUAUCCAAGUAGGAAGAGACCAAAGGGUGGCGGCCACAUCUCCACCAUCCGAAUCCACCAACCCUAAUCAAGAUCAAGGGCCCACAUUAACCCUAAGUCCUAAACCCGAUUUUAGUGCUGGACAUGCCCAAAAUCCCCAAUUCGAAGCGUUUUUUGACAAAACUAACUCCACCAAUGUGUUUAAAACAUAUUUAAACAUCAAGUUUGACUAUUCAUACAUCCAAAUCUAAGUUCUAGAUGAUUAAGAACCAACAAUUUGACAAACCCAUCACAAUAAAUUUACUUCUAAUUAUUUUCUUCUCCUUUUUCUUCUUCUUCUCCUUGUCCCUCUUCAUCUUCUUCCUUCUUUCUUCUUGGCCUUUUUGUUUUUUUUUUUUUUUUUUUUUUUUUUUUCUUUUGGCUCUUUUUCUUAUCUUUCUUUACACUCCCUUCUCCCUUGAUUUUUCUUUCCACUACUAAUCAUCAAUAAGCCACUAACAUUAAUGUCUAUAACUAACUUAUUAUAACAAAACAUAAUCAAAAUCCUCAUUUUUUUUAGAUUUUUUUAGUUUAACCAACAAUGUGAACCAACUUUUGGGCUCACAAUCAUACCCUGAAAUUGAUUAAAAAGAUCAUUCAUGCAUGGAAGAGGAUAUGCAUUUUUAACAAUCUAGUUAUUGAGGCCUUGAUAGUUGAUGCAAAGGUAAAAUCCACCAUCUUUCUUGGGUGCAAAGAAUAUAGAUGCUUCCUAUGGUGAUGUGCUUUCUUCAAUGAGGCCUUUCUCUAAGAGUUUGUCCAAUGUCUUCUACAAUUCUUUAAGUUCUUUUGGUAUUAAGUAAUAGAUUAGUCAAUUUAUUGAUUUGGUUCUAAAUAAUAGUUCUAUUUGAAAGGAGGUAUCUCAAUUAAGAAGUAUACAAUUAGGUAGGUUAGUUGAAAAGACAUCUUGAUAUUUUCAUAUAAGUUAUUCUGCCUGUUGUACUUCUUCGGCUAUCUUUUCUAUCACUAACGCAAGAUUUGGAAUUAUUAUAUAUAUCGAUUGCUCAUGUUGUAUUUGCUUCUUCAUAAAAGUCGUCUCUACAAGUAAGUCUUUGGUUGUAAAUGAUCUUUCUUCUUCACUUAAUGCAAGGUACAAAGAGUCACCUCGCAUCCUCUAUCUUUAAAAAAUAUUGUCUUUGCUACUCAAUCAACUUGCAUAUUUCUCAUUUCUAGCUAUAGCAUACCAAGGAUAACAUCAUACCUUAGCUUUGACAACUUAAAUCUCUCUCUUGAGACAUAGGCAUCUAUCAAUUUUAAGGUUUCUUCUUCAUAUAUUUCAUUCAAUACAUUCUCUUAAUCAUCUGCAAGAUAUAUAUUUCUUUCUUUGAUUGCUCUAGUUUUAAUUCCAAAUCGAUUGAAAAUUUUAAUUGAGAUGUAAUUUUCUCUAGAGCUAUGCUCUACAAGCACUUGAUAUAGUUAUCUUUUUAGUAGUUUCGUUAGAUAUACUAGUCAAUUCUUUUUAUAGUUAUCUAAGGUAAUGCCAUUUAUCUUUGAGAGUCAGUAUUAAUUCCUAAUACAAUCCUUCAAUGCCUUUACUAAAAAGCUCCAUUUUUUUUCCUUUGAUUCAUUAUUGUUUUAGUAAAUUUUGAGAUUGUGAAUCUAGUUGGUCUUGUUGGCACUUGAAUUUUGAUAUUUUGGACAACCUUCAAUUUGAUGGCAUAGCUCCCGACAAUAGAAAUACAAUCUCUUUUCUACUAAUAUUUUUCGUCUUUGUGGUGUUAAUGAUGUUGGUAGGGUAUCAAUUUCUAUUGGCAUUGGUUAUUAAGCCAUAGUAUUAGAUGGCAGCAUAGGACUUUGUACUAUAGAUCAUGCUCCAAGAUUUCUAAAAUCUAUAGUAUCAACUCUCUACAAUCCAAAUUGUCUCUUGGAAUAUUUGUGGAUCCUUUAGUUUGAUCUUUUGCUGGAUUCUAAGUUCCAAACCUCAUAGAAAUUGAUCCAUCAUCUUUACCUUCGAAACAUUGCUAAUUUUGAGACAUAAAGACUUAAAUUGAAAGAUAUAAUCUUGCACCAACCUAGCUUAUGUAAGAUUUUUCAAUUAAUCGCAUGCUAUCUUCUCCGCAUUGAUGGACCAAAAUUAAUUCCUAAACUCAAUCUCAAACUCAUUUCAAUCAAAAAAUCUACCUUAAUUUCUAUAGCUUUGAACACAAUGUUACUACCAAAUGGAUGCCGCAUCUCUCAAAUAGCUAGUUACAAAUAUAAUUCCUUCAAUGGUAUUUGUGCUAGUUAGUUGGAGAUAUUGUGACAUGUUGAAAAGCCAUUGAUAUACAUCUUCUUAUCUUGAAGUCUUAGAGUAUGUACUUGACUUAUUCAAUUUCAACCUAAUAGAUGUCGACACUCUUAUCCUCGAGGCUUCUAUUUGUCCUAGCAAAGUAGCUAUCUUGCUUAAGAAGUAUUAUAUUUGAGCCUCAAUUUGGGAUUGCUCUGCUAUAUCUUUGAUACUAUCAUUUUUUUAUUGGAUUCCACUUUAUAAUGUCUUUUCACUUUUUGAUUGAUUUUUUAAGAGUAGCUCAUGGUAGCCUCAACAUAAUACCCAAUGUGACCAUAAUAAUUAAGCUUGGACUAGAUGAUGAUUAUUAACACACUACCAAAAAUAAACAGUCUAAUACUUACUUUGAUACCACUAAAAUAUGAUUAGACUAUCUCAAAAAAACCAAGCUCCUACUACACCACAACAAUAUAAAGCCUCAUUAUAAAAUAAGACAAAAUAGAUCAAAAUAAAAAUGAAUCAAACUAAAAUGAAUAAGACAUGAAAGACAAAACUGAACAAAUGGAGAUAAAAUAAAAUAGAUCUGAACAUAAAGAUUCAAAACCAAAUUUUAUUAAAAAAAAAAGGUCCAAAGCCAUACUUGAUCAAAUGUCCCAAUAAGCCUUGGCUAGUCCUAUUUAUAUCUUAUCUUACUAUCCUAGAUUUUCUAAAAUAUUCUUAGGUGGUCGAUCCCAUCUAGAUAACUACCAUAAAUUCUUUCUAGAAUGAUCUAUAGUAGAUCUUAUCUAGUCCACUAACCUAACCCCGAUUCUAGAAACUUCCAUGGUUUUAAUUAUCUAUAUAAUUAUCUUAUCUAUAUCUUGUUACACAAUAUUUCUUAGAAUAUUGCACCCAAUUCUAUUACCUAUGGUACAUUAAAAGUAAGUGACUAUGGAUCACAUUACUUAUUUGUUGCAAAUACCUCAUAAUCUUACUAUGAUUACUAUCUUUGUAGAUUGACUCUCAAAGUAACUUCACUUAAUUGCAGUGUGCUUAAAUAUUGAUGCCCUAGUCCUUGCAUGGAUCUUCUUUGAUAUUAUCUUUUGUUACCAUAAAUUACCUCGUGUCAUCAUUUUAGAUCAGGAUCCAUGUUUCAUGGGAAGUUUUUAACAAGCCUUAUUUAAGCUAUUAGAUACAUGACUUAUCAUAUUUACAACUUUCCAUUUCUAAAAAAAUGAACAAAUAAAGCAUGUAAAUUAAAUCUUAGAAGAUAUCUUAGAAGCAUUUAUGAUAGUUUAUCAUAAUGACUAGGAUGAAUACUUGACGUCCUUCGUGUUUUUUUAUAAUGAUAGUAUUCAAGCAAAUACUAGUCAUUCAUCAUUUUUCUUUAAUAUUGAUGAAUAUUUGAUUAUUCCAAUAAUUUUCUAUUGUUCCAUUGAUAUUAACAACUGGAUAAUAGAGGAAUUUAUACAAUAGCUUACAAUGGCCUUACAUGAGGCAUGACACCACCUCCUUAUUAUACAAAAUUGACAAAAGUAGUAUACAUAUAACUAUCAAUAAUACAAGAUCUUCUAAGAGGGUGAUUAAGUAUUACUCUCCAAUUCCAACUUAUCACUUUUAACAUCAAUCCAAAUCCGUAAAGUGGCACCUUUGUAGCUUAGAUCUUUUUGUAUUUUUUUAGUGAUUUGUGAUAUCGCAUAUUGCCUUGAACUUCGGCCACAUAUUUAGAUCCAUCCAAUCUUUUGUAUCUUGUAAUUGAACGAAUUUUAUACAAAGCUAAAGUACUUUUUGAAUCAAUACCAAUCACCACCAUGGAACCUUUUAAAAUAACUUGGUCAUGGUGGUGACUGGUGUUGAUUGAGAAAGUGUUAAAAUAAAUGGAAGAUAAGUUAGAAGAUAAAAGAUAUUAUCUUAGAUAAGUUGUUAAUGGUCAAAGGACAGUAAAAAGAUGAAAGAAAGUUACCAAGGUGGUGGCUAGGGUUUUAAGUGGCAGCUAGAUUAAGAAGAAUCUAGGAUUUAGUUGGAUAAAAAUAAGUUGAAUACUAGCUAAAAUGGAUGUAACCUCUAUCUAUAAGUAAAGGAUGUUGGAAGUAAAAGGUAUCUCAUUCCACACUUCUCUUAUAUCUAACCUUGCUGAUUUUUACUUACUUGUGUCUUGCUUAUUCUGUUUCUUCAAUAGGUUAUGAGCCCACACACACUUUGUUGUCCUAUUCAAAUAAGUUGAAGUCAUUUGCUCGUUGUUGUUCUUGUGUGGAAUAGAUCUUAUGGUGUUUAUUGAUAUUAGAGAUUGUAUAAUCUAAUCUGGUCUUUUAACUUCUUGAGGUUCUGAUUUGGGCCUUAUAGAUCUCUUACAUUAAUUUUAAGGUUCUUAACUCAUAGGAUUGAGUGAUUAAGACCUUAUACAAAGACCUUGAUAGUGUCUUUGAUUUUGUGGUGAAAAAGUGAGUUUUAUGAAUGGAAGAACUAGAUGGUGAGGUUGAUUGGAGUUCACAUACUUGUUCCAAGCUUCAAAAGUUGAUUUAGGAGUGUUUGGAGUGAAAAAACAUUCAUUUGUUCACAAGAGGGCAUUCUGAGAUUCUGCUAGUACAAAAUUGUUUUAGUGAUUUUAAGUACAUAGAGACUCUUUUUCUUGAUAUUUUUUGAUAUACCUCUUCUAAGACAUGGCUUCAAGUGAGGGUGAAGAUUUGAGAGUGAUUGAGAAGUUUAGAGGUGACAAUUUCUACCAUUGGAAGGUCAAAAUGGAGCUUUUGUUGGCAUCUUUGGACCUUUGGGACAUUGUAGAUGAAAGUGAAGAGCCUCCAAGCAUGCAUGCUAAUGCUAAAGAGAGGAAGGACUUCACAAGACGAGAAAAGAAGGCUUUUGGCAUAAUUGCCACUAAUUUGGAUGAAGCCAAUUUUUCUCACAUCAUCUCUUGCAAAGAACCAGUAGAAGUAUGGAAGACUCUUUGCAACAUAUAAGAGAGCAAAAACUUAUCCAAUAUCAUCUUCACAAGGAGGAAAUUCUUCACUUGCAAGAUGGAAGAAGGUGAAGAAUUUAUGGCUCAUGUCAAUAAGGUAAAAGUCCUUACUAAUCAACUUGCUAUUAUUGACAAGUCUUAGAAGAGAGUGAUAUUGUCACGACCUUGCUUAUGAGCCUUCUCAAGUCCUACAACUACCUCAUUGUGGCAUUGGAAUCCAUCAAAGUAAAAGAACUUAUAAUGGAUUAUAUGACAGCAAGACUUGUCCAUGAAGUAACCAAGAGAAAAAAAAAAGAGUUCCAAAGUGAGGAUUCGACUCUCUUUUCAAGGUAAGGCAAGAGGAGUCAUCCCAAUCAAUGAGACAAUGUGAGAACUUCCUUCAUUUGUGGAAAACCAGGUCUUUUUGCUCAAAAUUGCUACAAGGCUAAAAAAGAAGAUAAAGAAAGUGCAAACAAUGCUCGUGAUGAAUAUGGAGGUGAUGAUUAUGCAUUCAUGGAAAGUGAAGGUACUUCCAUGGCUGCCAUGUCCAAGUGGAUCAUUGAUUUUGGUGCCACCAAGCACAUGACUCCAUACAAGUGUUCAUUUGACACUUAUGAAGAGAUUUCAAUAGUAAAUAUUCUCAUGGGAGACAAUGGCAUAGUACAUGCUAUUGAAAUGGGCUCCAUUGUUAUAGAGAUUUUUGUGAAAGGCCAAACUAAGAAGAUCAGAUUGAAGGACGUCUUACAUGUGCCAAAGAUGAAGAAAAACCUCCUCUCGAUGAGUAUACUUAUUUCAUAUGGUUGUAAAGUACAAUUUGAUAAGAAUGGGUAUUUUGUGAAGACAUUGAAAGGAGAUCAUAUUACAAAGGGCUUUAGAGAUGGCAACCUCUACUUCAUCAAGUGUAAGAAGGUGAAUGGAGUUGAAGUGGCAGUAUUUGCUGAAUUUCCUCAAGAUUAAGACAAGUUUGGCAUUUGGCAUCGACGCCUUUGUCAUUUGAAUGCCAAGAGUAUGAAGGAGCUCCAAUCCAUAGUAAGUGUCUUAGAUCUUGGUCAUAUAAGCCACAAUGCUAUGAAACUUGCUUGUGAAGGUUGUAUUCAAGGCAAACAACAAAGGGCCAACUCGUUGUCGUAUGGAGUGAUUUGCUAUUUGAAAAUAUACUGGGUAUCUAGCUAUAGAGAGUGUAGCUUAAACCUUUAUAUGAUUCUUGUCUUAGCUUCCAAAACUCCUUUAUUUUUGUAUAAAACUCCAAAUAUAAUAAAAGCCCUUCAAAAUAUAUUUUUUUCGCAAAGAGUUUUCUUGCCUUGAAUUUUAGAAAAUCAUAACUAUUGAUCUAACCAUUGAGUUUGUCUCAAAUUUAUAGAAUAGGUAGAAUUCACCCUUAAAUUUUAUUACAAAAAAAACCAACUGCAAAUUCAUUCCUAAUCUUUUGGAAUCUAAGAAACCCUGGUAGUACUCUAAAUCCUAAUUUACAAGCACCCGAAAAACUAUUUUAUUUAUAUCUCAAAAAUCCAAACUCUAAAUGUCAUAAAACUUAUGCAAAAAUUUUACUAACAUAAAAUUACACAUUCUCUGAAAUUUUGAGCAAAAACCUUGUUAAAUUGCUCAAGAUAUAGCUCAAGAGACAACCACUAGUAAAUCGGUUUACUUACUACCCUUAGAUUGCAUGUGCUAACUUCAAAAUCCAAUAACCCCUUCACUUUAACUUGGAAUCCAGUAUAAAGUAUGUUAAAAGUAUAGCCGCAAAAGUGCGUUCUCCAGUUGCAGUCGUCGAUCCUCAAUUGCUAUCCGUACGCGUGCGUUAUGCCCAAAAGAGUGACAGUAGGUCCAAAACUAACACCUUAACUUUGAGAGCCUAUAACUUCUUCAUAAAAACCCCAAAUGACACAAAACUUGCACCAAAACUAUAGCCAAAAACCUAAACCUUCUGACCCUAGCCUUAAAAACUCGAAUGGCCUCGAUAAACUAACUCUAAUCCCUAAUAUGGCCUCGGACAGCCUCCUCAAAGCCCAUUGGUCAUGAUUUUUGACCAAUAGGAAUGGAGAUUUUCAUUAUUCAUCACCAUUCAUCUAUAUUGGUGCCCUAAUUACUCCCUUUGCUUCCAAAAUACUUCUUUAAUCCUUAUUCUUACAAGAUUUACAUAAUUUUUGCUCUAAAUACCAAAUAAAAGAAUCAAAAUAAGUUUUCAAAUGUCACUAAUGUCUAAUAAAGGUGAUUCUAAAUAUUUAGAAGUUACUAUCAACCAAAACCAAUCUUAAAAGCCUUUAUCAAAAGGAAAUUAAAUUUAUACAAAUUCUAUAGUAAUCUUUUUAAACAACCUCAUCUCAAGGUAAUAAUCAAAUUAUAUUCUACAACCAAUUAAAAUCUACUAACAUGGCUCCCACCAUGUUACUUAAUAAAUUAUAUAUUAAGUACAUAAUUACAUUAUUUUCAUAUAGUAGUCGAAUUACAACAUGAGAACGUGUAACCAGGUUAUUGGAGAUUGUCCAUUCUGAUGUUUGUAGACCUAUGAAGAUGCCAUCAAUAGGAGGUGCAAGGUAUUUUGUCACAUUCAUUGAUGACUUUUCAAGGAAAGUAUGGAUUUUCAUCCUCAAAGCAAAGAGUGAGUGUUUCACAAGGUUUAAGGAGUUUAAGGUACUUGUGGAGAAGCAAUGUGAAUGCAAAAUUAAGGUAUUGUAUAUAGACAAUGGAGGUGAGUAUACGUCAAAGCAAUUUAAUGACUUCUUGAAGUUGCAUGGUAUUGCAAGACAAAAUUCCACUCCUUACAUUCCACAACAAAAUGGAGUUGCUGAAAGAGCAAAUCGGACCAUUGUGGAGAUGGCAAGGACUAUACUUCAUGCACAACACUUUGGACAUGAAUUUUGGAUGGAAGUAGUGGUGAAUACAAUAUACACAAGAAAUGAGUGUCCUAUAAGUGUACUUACAUCAAUGACGUCGGAAAAAACUUGGAGUGGGAAAAAACCUUGUGUUUCUCACAUGAAAACCUUUAGUUGCAUAGCAUAUGCAAAGAUAUUAGAUUGUAUGAGAUCAAAAUUUGAUGCAAAAGGUACAAAAUGUAUGUUUGUUGGAUAUUGUGAAGGUACAAAGGCUUAUAGGCUCAUGUCUUUGGAGACUAAAAAGAUCAUCAAAAGUCGUGAUGUUGAAUUUUUGGAGCACAAGAGUACUUGUGAGUACUUGGAGAUGUGUCCGAGUAGAAGUAAUGGUAUAUUUGUGGACACAUCUUCAAAUUCUGCAAAGAAGGAAGAAGACAAAGACAAUGAUGGUUUGUCAUGGAUAAAGAAAUACAGACUUGAGAUCUAACAAGAAGUUCAAGAAGAACUAACAAGAACUAGAUUAAUCAAAUGAGAACAACACCAAAGAGAUAAGCUAGAGCUCCAAGACAUGUGUUGUCGAGACUGAAGAGCUCUUCAGCCUCGAUUCCAAUAUAUACUCCUAUUUAGGAAGCUUCUCAAGCAACUUCUACCAACUAGGAAGCUUCUAGAAGGUUCCAGAGACUUGCUUCUAGAAGGUUCUAGAAACUUAUAUCUAGAAGGUUCUAAGGACUAUGUCCUUAACAUCUUCUACCAACUAAGAAGCUUCUAGAAGGUUCCAGAGACUUGCUUCUAGAAGGUUCUAGAAACUUGUCUCUAGAAGGUUCUAAGGAUUAUGUUCCUAACAUCACCCCCUCCUUUAGCUUCGAGGUCUCUAAGAAAUAAUGUUGUUGUUAAUCAGUACCAACGCAAGAAAAUGAAGAUCUGUCGCAUAACGUCUGCUAUGAACUCCAACUGUUGUUCACGAGACAAGUGGUUCAUCGGCCCUUGAAGCCAACGGUAGUGGCCCACUCCUUCAACUUCUGACUAAGCAUGAACUUCCGUGUCCUCAUUGUAAAAUUGUCCUACAAACACGCCUUCUAGCUGACCGUCAUAAGCAAGCUCGGACUCAAAUACAAUCACCAGUGAUUGGUUACUCGGUAUCCUCCGUCAUCGUCGUGGUGUAGGCGAUUCUUCAUCUCGGGGUCGCCUUCGUCAGCUAGUCGGUUGAGAUAAUCUGACUGACAUAAUAUCUAUCUCUAGGCUAUCCAUAUCAGAAGACCAAACUAUGGCUACUGAAAAAAUUCUACUUUAUCUUGGAGAAAAUAACUACAUCAACUAUGAAUUUUGGUGAUGUUCUCCCCCUUUCUUAUAUUCUUGGAUGAGCAAGCUUCAGAAAGAAGCUAUCGUCGAACCGACUUAGGUUUUUGAGGAUGUUAUUGAUGAAACUCAUGUACCUUUUGUGGCGCAUUGGCGAGAUUUUCAGCUAGCUCUCACGUUUGCUCAUUAAUGUCGUAGCCGCAUUAAUGAACAAGAUACUCCAACUUGCCCCACCUUCGCCAUGAAUCCAAUACCUUUUCAACCUCAUAUUCCUCAUGGUUCUCGAUCUCAAUAUUAGGUGGCGGACAUUAUACUCUUCUAAGAAAAGACGACUCUCGAUAAGGCUCUAACAGAGAAACAUGAAAGACUGGAUGUACCUUCAUAGAAGCCGGUAAAUCCAGACGGUAUGCCACUGGAUUGAUUUGCUUCUGGAUGAUAAAUGGUCUCAAUCUUCGAUAGUUCAACUUAUCACAUGGUCGCUUGGUCUUGAUAUUCCGUUGAAGAAGCCAUGCUUUAUCUCCAAUUUUAAAAGUAGGUACUUGAUUCCGAAAUCUAUCUACAGACGCCUUGUAGGAUUCUUGAGCGGAUUGUAAUUGAAGCUUCAACGUAAUUUGAAGCUCUGAUAGUUGUUUUGCAAAUCCUUCAGCUACUAGAUUAUUAUUUGUUGACGGACUCAAUAAAUCAAGCUUCAGAUGAUACCCAUAGUUAGAAAAAAAUGGUGUGUAUUGAGACGACGCAUGGAGGGUGUUGUUAUAUGCAAACUCGGCUAGCGGCAGAUAUGUGGUCUAAUCAUCUUGCUGAUAGUUGAUGCUGCAUUGUAAGUAUUGUUCCAAGACUUGGUUCAUCUAUUCCAUUUGGCCGUCAGUUUGAGGAUGAAAAGCCGAAGAAAGCUUGAUAUCCACCUUCAGUAUCUCAAAGAGAGAUCUCCAAAACUUUGAUUCGAACUGGAUUCCUCGAUCUGAUACGAUAUCAUCUGGUAGUCCAUGAUAUCGAUACAUAUUAUCGAAAAAAAGCCUUGCUGUGACUUCACUAGACGAUGUCUUCUUGCAAGGAACAAAGUGUACCAUCUUUGUAAGCCGAUCUAUCACGACAAAGAUGCUGUCAAAUGAGUUCGAUGAUGGAAGGUCCGUGAUGAAGUCCAUGGAAAUUGAAGACCAUGGUCGACGUGGAAUCAGCAAUGGCUGUAGGAGUCCAUAAGGGCGAUGCCAAGGAUUCUUGGAUCUUGAACAGAUGUCGUAGGAGAGGACAAAAUCUUUCACAUCCUUCUACAUUUGGGGCCACCAAAAAUCUCGAGAAAUAAGCUCCAAGGUCUUGUUGAAUCUAAAAUAUCCCGCAGCUAGAAAAUCGUGGCGAGAGUGAAGAACUCGGAGUCGUGCUGGUCCUUUUGGGAUAUACAACCACCCCUCAAAGUAUAAAAGAUCUCCCUUCACCUUGAAUUUGUCAUCAUUGGCAGGCUGCUUGAUAUCAAUGGCACGCUGCUUGAUAUCAAUGGCUACUGAAUCUUUAAUGGUCACGACAUGUACCUGAUUCAAGAAAUCAGCAUCAAUUGGUAUAAUAGUAGCGCAAAGCCGAAAUUGCUCUAGCUUCAACAACGUCGUACAUUGUUGAUCAAACACUGCUUCUCUAGCCUUUGAUACAAGAUACGAUCUCCUCAAUAAGGCAUCAGAUAGUCCUUACUGCUUUCCAGGUCGAUAAGUGAUAACAAAAUCAAACCUAGAUAGCAACAUACUCCACCAAGCUUGACGUCGAUUUAGAACUCGAGACGACAUGAAAUAUUCCAAAUUCUUGUGGUCUAUGUAUACGAUUACUGGGUGUGUAGCUCUUUCAAGAAAAUGAUGCCAUUCUUAGAAAGAAUCCACUAUAGCAAGAAGUUCCUUAUCGUGGAUCUCAUAAUUGAUUUCAGUAGUAGAGAACUUUCGAGAAUAGAAUGCAACCAGAUGGAGCUUCUUGUCUUCUCUCAUUUGUGAAAGUACAGCUCCCAAAGCAAAAUCCAAAACAUCAGUUUCUAAAUAAAAGGCCUUUGUAAAGUCUGGAUGUACCAAGAUUGGAGCCGUAGUAAAUGCGGUCUUCAAGUCUUGAAACGCCUUUUUCGCUAGAGGUCUCCAUUCCACCUUAUCCUUGCAUGUCAACCGAAUGAGAGGAGCAGCAACUUGAGAGUAAUUCUUGAUGAAGAUCCGAUAGAAGUUGGCAAAGACAAGAAAGCAUUGUACGUCUCUCACCGUCUUCGGAACCUCCCAGGACACGAUUGCUUCCACCUUCUUGGGGUCCAACUUCAAGCUUUUCGUAGUCGCAAUGAACCUCAAAAACUCCAUCUCUAUUUAGUAAAAUAAACACUUCUCCAACUUGGCAUAUAGUCCUCGCUUACGUAGUUUUUUCCAGACCAAACGUACGUACUUUUCAUACUCUUCCUCAUUUUUGGAGAAUAUCAGAAUAUCAUCCAAAUAGAUGACAACAAAAUCGUCAAGGUAUUCUCAGAAAAUAUCAUUCAUCAUAUGUUGAAAGACCACUGGAGCAUUGAUAAGACCAAAGGGCAUGACAUUAUACUCAAAAUGGCCAUACCUUGUACGAAAUGCUGUCUUCCACUCAUCUCCUUCCUUGAUUCGUACGAGGUUGUAAGCUCUCUUUAGAUCAAUUUUUGUAAAGAUCCUUGUACGUCCAAGUUGUUCUAAGAGACCAGAAAUCAAGGGUAAUGGGUAACGAUUCUUCUUUGUUACCUUGUUGAGGCCUCGAUAGUCCACACACAUCCCCAAUGAGCCAUCUUUCUUCUUCACAAAUAAGAUAGGUGCUCCAGCUGACGAUUUUGAAUGAUGGAUGAAGUUCUUGGCUAGAUUCUCGUCAAUGUAUUUCUGCAACUCCGCCAACUCCAUUUGUGAUAGAUUGUAGAUUGGGCCAAAAGGCAGUUGUGCUCCUUCCUGUAAGUCUAUGGCGCAAUCAUAUGGUCUGUGUUUCAGUAGCAUGUCGGUAUUUUUCUUUUGAAACACGUCUUUAGAAUCCUUAUAUAUCUCCGGUAUACUUGCUGUUGAGAUCUUCUCUCCGAUAGUUGGAGCCACAUAAAUGACAAACGGUGUGCCUUCCUUGGACGAUCUUAUAAACGCUCUUGCUCCAAUAAAUAAGAAUUUCUCUAUUCGGGGUUUUCUACUAGGCUUGCUCUUGGGUGGUUUUGUGGGAAAGGUCAUCUUCUACAACUUCCAAUCUAUGGAUGGAUUAUGCUUUUCUAACUAGGAAAGACCAAGAAUAACAAAAUUUGAUGGGGUUCUAAUAAUAUUGAAAAUAAUAAGACUACUAUGGCCCUUAAACGUCACUUCUAUAGGUUUUGAUUCAUAGGUGACACUACCAGACAAUAAAGGUCGCCUAUCUAUGACCUCAACGUGAACAGGUUUGGAUUUUUGUACUAAAGGGAUCUUAUGAUGUUUCACAAAUUCUUCGUCUAAGAAACAAGCAGAUGCUUCUGAAUCUAAUAAUGCUAAGGUUCUCAGUUUCUGAGGGCCAAUAAGCAAAGAGAUUGUAAAAUAAAGGGCAGGUUGAGUAGAAAGAAAGGAACCUCGUUGUUGUUACGAUAUUUCACUAUCCAGCCACACGGUUCCUAUUGUGGCUGGGCAUCCUUAUUUUUCUCAAUAAAUGCACCCCUAAUCUUGACAAUACGUUGAUUUUGCUUCUUGGGGCAGUUUCCAACUUUGUGGCCUUCUUCACCGCAAUACAAGCAUAGACCUUCCUCCAUACACCGCAUUUUUUCUUCUAGAGUAAGGGAUUUGACACGUACCGCAUAAAUUUACAUGUCUUCUACCUCUGAAUGUGAAUUCACGCUGCUUGUCAACAUAGUUGGGGCAUGGCGAACCAUAUGUUGUCUUGAAUGUUGGUCUUGGCGGCGUUGGAAUAGGCAGUUAUCGCACUUCACAGCUUGGCUAAUAGCUUCAUUGAGCGUUUACGGAUUAGAAAGAGUUAACAGCAAAUCCUUCACAUCGUUCCUUAAAUCCCAAUAGAAUUGACUCAUCAACGCUUCUUCAUUCCAAUUGAUGUCGUAUGCUAAUUGCUUGAAGUUCGAUGCAUAGACUGAUAUAGAGCGCAUCUCUUGUCGUAGUGACCGGAUCUUUGUUGUAGCCCAUCGAACCUUGUCGUGUUCACCAAAUGCUUCCGUAAAUGCCUCCAAAAAGAUUUCAAAGUUAUUUAGUAUGGACGAUCGUUUCUCAAACAAAAGGAGCAAACCAUGAUAGAGCUUGUCAUGUAAGUAAGGUUCCAACAAGCCCAACUCGUGACUCCUCUGUUAGAUAGCGUUCGGGCUGUAAAAUUGUUAUCAACUUGAUUUGAUUGACACAUCCUUGAAACUUGGAAUGCGUACCAUCGAACUUGUCCGGAAGGCUAACUCGGGGCUCCUUAUAUUGUAGAACGAGCGGUGCUUGUCGAACUUGAGGCAAAGUUGCUUCUCCAAGUGCAGAAGUUUGAGGCUGGUGCAACCUAGAUUGUACCAUCGUAGAUGUUCCAUCAUUAUGAAGCCUUGUCAUGACUCCUUCAAUCUCUGCAGUUCUUUGCGAUAACGUAAUGAGGACAUUCAUGAUAGCAUCUAACUUGGAUUCCGAACUUUCUGUCAAACUAUUGUCUUGGCCCCCGGCCAUUCUAAGAGAAGGACAGAAAUGAAUCUACAAGAAGACAAUAUUGGUUUAGAGGAGGAUACUCUGCAACCUCUAAAAUGCCUUAAGAGCUUCAAGAAAAGAGAUAAUCCACUCUCUCCAAGAAGAAUAAGACUCCAAUAUUGUAACAAAAGAAGUAUCAGUUUAGAGGAGGGUAAUCCGCAACCUCUUAAAUGCUAGUACACUUCCAAGCAGAGGGAUAAUCCACACUCUAACAAAGAAGAAAUUAGCUCUGAUAUCUGAGGUGAGUGAAGUCUCGACAAAUUAUCACGGACACAGAAAUACAAACUCAAGAUCUAAUAAGAAGUUCAAGAACUAGCAAGAACUAGAUUAAUCAAAUGAGAACAACACCAGAGUGAUGAGCUAGAGCUCGAAGAGAUGUGUUGUCGAGACUGAAGAGCUCUUCAACCUCGAUUCCAAUAUAUACUCCUAUUUAGGAAGCUUCUCAAGCAACUUCUACUAACUAGGAAGCUUCUAGAAGGUUCCAAAGACUUACUUCUAGAAGGUUCUAGAAACUUAUAUCUAGAAGGUUCUAAAGACUAUGUCCUUAACAUCUUCUACUAACUAAGAAGCUUCUAGAAGGUUCCAGAGACUUGUUUCUAGAAGGUUCUAGAAACUUGUCUCUAGAAGGUUUUAAGGAUUAUGUCCCUAACAUGGUUGUAAAGAUAGAAAUGAAGAUGAAGAGGCAAAGAAGGUGGACAAGAAGGCCUUUACAAUUGCUAAGACUAGCAAUGAAGAGUAUGAAGAUGUUGAUGAUGAUGGUGAUGAGGAUUAUAAAUCUUUAAGUGAGAAAAGACUAUCUUCAAAUAAAAAGAAGGUUAGAAGUGACCAUAGAGUGCAACAAGUUGAAUCUUCUUCAAAUGAAAGGAGAUAUCCUUUGAGAGAUAGAAAACAACAUGGUAAAUAAUAGAAGGACCAUAUUUUUCCUUAAGUAAGUAAAAAAUAUGCCAAUGUUGUACUUCUUGCUGAUCCAUUGAGUUUAUGUGAUGCAAUGAAGUCCACGGAUACUAUGAAGUGGGAGAAUGCUAUGAAAGAAGAGUACAAAUCACUCAUGGAUAAUGGAACAUGGAAAUUGACUCAACUUCUACCAAAUUGAGCUUCAAUUGGUUGUAAGUGGGUGUUUAGAACCAAAAGGGAUGCAAUGGGUAAUAUUGUGAGGUAUAAGACAAGAUUGGUUGCCAAAGGCUACUCACAAGUUGUUGGUGUUGAUUUCAAUGAGACAUUUGCUCCCAUGGCCAAAUUCACCAUCAUUAGAAUCAUUGUGGCAAUUGGUGCAGCAAUGGACUUGGAAAUGUACCAAAUAGAUGUGAAGACGACUUUCUUGAAUGGAGAAUUGGAAGAAGACAUCUACAUGGAUCAACUCAAGGAUUUCUUGAAGAAAGUAAAUGACAACUUGCAUGUAAGUUGAAGAAAUGCUUGUAUAGGCUUAAGCAAUCAUGAAGGGCAUAUUACCAACGUAUCGACACCUUUUUUGUGAAUGAAGGAUUUGUGAAGAGUGAGGCUGAUCAUUCCAUUUAUGUGAUGCAAUGAAAAGCCUUCUUGCUGAUUGUUAUUCUUUAUGUUGAUGAUUUGAUCAUUUUGACCAAUACUUUGAAAAAGAUGGAUUGGUUGAAGGCAAAGUUAGCAAAAGAAUUUGAAAUGAGUGAUUUGGGAGAGCUCCACUAUUGCUUAGGAGUACAAUUUGUGAGAGAUUGAGCUAAGAAGAUCAUUACAUUGAGCCAAAAGAAGUAUAUUGAAGAAGUGUUGAAACGGUUCAAUAUGAAGGAGUGCAAGUCCAUUGGAAUACCUUUGGAGGUAAAUUUGAAGUUGAUGAAGGUCACGGAUGAGGAAUUUACUGAAGUUGAAGAAGAAAUAAAAGUUGUUCUAUACAAGGCAGCAGUAGGCUCACUUAUGUAUGCAAUGGUUGAUACAAGGGUGGAUCUUGCAUAUGCGAUGAGUGUUGUGAGUCAACACAUGUCAAAAGCUGGACCAAUUCAUUGAACAACCAUUAAGAGGAUCUUGAGGUACUUAAAAGGCACUUUGAACUUCAAAUUGUGUCUUGGAGGUGAUAGUAUUACAUUGCAUGGAUAUUGUGAUGCGGAUUGGGCUGGAGAUGCAAAUGAUAGAAGGUUAACAAUAGGAUAUGUAUUCUUUGUUGGAGUGGGAGCAAUUUCAUGGAAUUGUAAGAUACAACUAAUAAUUGCAAGAUCUACAAUGGAGGUGGAAUACAUGGCAGCAAGUCAUGGUGCAAUAGAGAUAAUAUGGCUAAGACGAGUUUUAGAAGAUAUUAGAUUUGUGUAAUUGGAAGCAACUCUAAUGAAGUGUGACAAUCAAGGAUGCCUUGCUUUUGCCAAGAAUCCAAAGCAUCAUUCAAAGAUAAAGCACAUUGACAUUCAACAUAACUUCAUAUGGGAGAAGAUUGAAAUGAAAAUAAUUGACAUGAAAUAUUGUGCAACAGAAGACAUGCUUAUUGAUUUACUUACAAAAGCAUUGGUGAAAGAUAGACAUUACAAAUUGACAAAGGGAUUAGGUUUAUUAGCCUUUGACUAAUAGCAAAGUGGGAGUGUUAAAGUAAAUGAAAGAUAAGUUAAAAGGUAAAAGAUAUUAUGUUAGAUAAGUUGUUAAUGGUCAAAGGGCAGCAAAAUGAUGAAGAAAAGUUACUAAGAUGGCGGCUAGGGUUAUAAGUGGCAGCUUGGUUAAAAAGAAUCUAAGAUUUAAUUGGAUGAAAGUAAGUUGAAUACUAGCCAAAAUGGAUGUAAUCUCUACCUAUAAGUAAAGGCUGUUGGAAGUGAGAGGUAUCUCAUUCCACACUUCUCUUGUGUCUAACCUUGCUGAUUUCUACUUACUUGUGUCUUGCUUAUUGUGUUUCUUCAAUAGAAAGUACUUUGGCUUUACAUAAAAUUCCUUCAAUUACAAGAUAUAAAAGAUUGGAUGGACCUUAAUAUUUUUUUAGUGGUUUGUGAUGUGGCAUAUUGCCUUGAGCUUCGGCCACAUAUUUAGGUCCAUCCAAUCUUUUACAUUCCUUCAAUUACAAGAUUGAAUGGAUCUAAAUAUGUGGCCAAAGCUUAAGGUUAAUGACCAACAAGAAUAUGAAGUAGACAAUAUUUUAGAGCAUCUCUACCUUUGUUGUGGUAGUGGACAUCUAUAACUUCAAUACAAAGUUCUUUGAAAAGAUUAUUCCAUCCUUGAUACAAUAUGACAACUUGCACAAAACCUCACCUAUUGCCAAGAGACAAUUUUAAAAUACCAUCGGGAGCAAAAUGAGGACGUUUCAUAUUAAUAAAGAGAGAUUAACUAUAACAAGAUAUAGAUAAGAUAUUUGCAUUGUUGACACAUAGGAAUAGAUAGUUGAAAGUAUGUUUGAUAAGUUAUAGAAGUUUUUAAAAUUAAGGCUAGGUUAAAGGAUUAUAUAAGAUCUAUCAUAGAAUAUUCUAAAAAAAACUUAAGAUAGUUAUCUAAAUAGGGCCUAUCAUAAAAUCUUCUAAAAAAAAUUUAAGAUGGUUAUUUAGGUAGGAUCCAUUAUGGAAUCUUCUAAAAAAAAUUUAAGGUAGUUAUCUAAGUAGAAUCUAUCAUUCUAGAAAGUCUUAGGUAGUAGAAUAAAGUUUAAAUAGGACUAGCCACGGCCUUUUGGAACAUCUAGUCAAGUAUGGCUUUGGACCUUCUCUCUUAGUAAAGUUUGGUUUUGUGUCUUUUUAUUUAAUUUCUAUUUACACUAUUUUGUCUUUUGUAUCUUUUUUGUUUAAUUUUAUUUAGUUUUAUUUUGGUCUAUUUUGUCCUAUUUUAUAAUGAAGUUUUAUAUUGCUAUAGAUUAGAAGAGUCUUAGACUUCCAAGAUAGACUGGUUCUAUUUUAUAUAUUUAUUUUAAUAAAUACCUAUAUGAUUAGAUAAAAUUAAAUAAAAAUAAAUUAAAUUAAAUUUAUUUUAUAAUACCUAUUAAAGAAGCUUCUUAGAAAUUUCAUUGACACUGAUUUGACUUUACAUGCAUUAAUAUUUGAUUGAUAGGUUAAAAACUUGAGCAAAAAAUCAACCACAUAUUGAUAGCUUACAAAACAAGCUAAUUAUGUGGUGUACAUAUAUACAUAACUACCUUAUAAGUUAAGAUAUGUAUCUUAUAAAGCCAACAUGUUUUAGAGGUCCUAUAGGACAUUUCCAUGUAGGUCUUAAUUAAUAGUAUAUAUGGAAGUAAGAAUAAAGCUUUUUUUUACUCUUAUCAAUACCUUUCUAGUCGUUAGUCUUAUUUUAAGACUUUUUUGUCUUCUUGUUUUUGGCAAUAGCUACUCUAGUUUAGUAUUAUAUCAUCUUUGAGUGACUUUCUAGUUCUUUUUAGUGACACAAGAGUGUAUUGAGGAUUUCUUUCUUUGAGAUUCAUAUCCUUGACAGUUUGACAAGAAUGCUAACUUAUUAUUCUUAUCUUAUUUUAGAAGUGAAUAGAUUAUCUCACUUCUAUUGUUGUAUUUUGAAGGUUGCAAAUUAUCCAUCUUUAAACAAAUAAUCUUCUUUUUUAACAUUGAUUUUUUCCUAAAAGAUAGUAGAUUAUCUUUCUUUGUGAAUAUUUUCAUUUGAUAUUAGAGAUUAUGGAUUAACAUCCACUAAUUAAAUUUUUUGAAUUUUUUUGAGUUAUCUAUAGUAGAAAAGAUUAUAGAUACUACUCUCAAUGGAAGUGAGAAUAUAUUUUUAACUAUUAUAGAUCUUUAUAAGUUUGUUAAUAUUCUAAGAAUAAAAUUCUCACAUAUUUUUAACGUGAAUCAUUGAAGUAUUAUUCUUACAUAUUUGGAAGAAGUUCAAAGUCUAAAUUAAGAAGUUGUAUAGUUGAAGGAAGCAAGUAUAUUAUUCUUACAAUCAAAUUUAAGAAGUUUUGCUUUAAUAAGUAUAAUGAGGACAAGGAUUAAUAUGCCUAAGAAGUUUGAUGAAAAAAGAUCAAAAUUUCAAGGAUUUUUGCAACAAGUCAAGUUCUAUCUAAGAUUGCAUCUUUUUCAAUAUCUUGAUGGAUUUACUCAAGUUGAAUUCAUAGAUGGACUUCUAUUAGUAAGUAUUCUUUUUUAGUUUGUAUCUUUAAUAGAAAAGAAUUCACAAUUCUUUUAUAAUUUGAAUUCAUUCUCAGAAGUAUUUACAACCAUAUUUAGAGAAAGUGAUUAAAAAAGAAUAGCAAAGAUCAAGCUCUUAUAUUUAUAAUAAAGAUUAUGGUCAACCACUAUAUAUGUUGUUGAAUUUGAAAACCUUGCUUAUGAUAUAGACUAAAAUAAAAAAAAACCUUAUCAAUCAAUUUUGAUAUAUGUUGAAGAAUAAUGUCAAAGAUUUAUUAUUGACAAUAUCAAAGGUAAAAUCUUUGGAAUAAUUUAUUGCUUAAGCCAUUGCAUGUAAUAAUUGAUUAUUUGAAAGAUGUCAAGAAUAAAGACUUGGCUAGAAAGGAAUAAGUCAAAUAAUGACAGCACCUCUCAAGUUUUCAAAAACUUAUUCAUCAAGGCCAAAACCAAUGCAAAUUGAUAUAGUAUAUUUCAAAUCCCUCACGAAGCACAAAAAGACUCAACAAUGCCAAGAAGGCUUAUCCUUAUAUUGUAGAGAAACUAAAUACAUUACUUAAUAUUAUCCAAAGAAAAAAUGCAACCACAAAAUAAAAAGCAUGGUUGCCAAAAAACAUGAUGUAUUGAAAAACAAAUUUCUUCAGCUAGAAUAGAAACUAUGUGCUUGAAAUCUUGUAUAAUUUCUAAUAAAUAUUUUAUUCUCUCUUCAAAUUUCACUUUUUUUUACAAUAUAAAUUUAUUUAUGACUAAAAAAUCACAAAGUCUUAGCUUUAUUAGAUUUAGAAGCCUCAACCUAUUUUAUAAACAAAAAAUUUGUCAAAAAAUAAGAAGUAUUGUUAUUCAAAAAAACUAAACUUGUACAUAUAGAAGUUAUAAAUAGUCGUUUGCUAUCUUCUAAAGAUGUUACAUAUGACACUAUUCUUUUAGAUGUAGCAAUUAAAGAUCAUAAUAACAUAGUAAUAUUUAAUGUAAUAAGAUCUCUAUUAAAUUUGAUUAUUUUAGAAUUAUUUUGGUUAAAAAAAUAUAAUCUUCAAAUAGAUUGGAUUUCUUAUAAAUUUAAUUUUUUUGAUAGUUUAAUUCGAAAUCCUAUCAAUGAAGUAAAAACUUAUAAGUUUAGUAUAUCCAAAUCCUUACUAGUAGAUGCAAAAGCUUUUAUGCAUGUCAUAAAAGAAGGAUUAUCUUUUGCUAUAUUUAUCAUAAUUAUUUUUCAUAGUGAAAAGAUGUCAAGUAGUAUUCCUAACCAAUAUCAAGAUUGUCAAGUCACUUUUGAAAAAAAGAAUUCAAACAUUCUUUCAGAGGAUUGUUCUUAUAAUUGUUCCAUUAAUCUUUACAAAAGAUCUCAACUACCAUUUGGACCAAUCUAUAGCCUGUUAUAAAAAUAAAAUAUAGUUUGAUAAAAACUUAGCUAAGAAUUUCAUAUGCCAUUUUAAAUCUCUAGCCAUAGCUCCUAUCUUAUUUUUGAAGAAAAAAGAUAAAUCUCUAUGGAUGUGUGUAGAUUAUCGAGGACUCAACAAAAUCACCAUCAAGAAUAGGUAUCUUCUACUUUUGAUUUCAAGACUUCUUAAUCAAUUCAAUCAAAUAAAUAUUUAUAUAAAAAUAAAUCAUUGAUGUUAUAAUACAUAUUGUCUUGUUUGAAAAUACAUCAAGCAAUUGGUUAUAGAAGGUAAAAUUGUGUUUUUAAAUAUACAAGAAAUCUUAAUAGGUUUCAUCCAUGUAAGAAGAAUGCAAUUCAAAUUUUAAUUAAAAAUUACUUAAAGCUAAUAUAAAGUACUUAAAAAUACUCUUCUUAGUUAUCUCAAUUAUAUAUAAAUUCCAAUUACCUUCUUACUUUUAUAAUUAGGUAUUUUUUAUUUUUCUUUAUAAGUCCUAAUCCUCAUUAAUGAACUUUGGUGCACUAUAACUCCUGAUUUGACUAUCUACUUGAUGCAAAUUUUUUUAUACAAAUGCCAUUAUAAGUCUUCUAUAUAUCCAAAAAAAAUUCAAUUCAAUCCAAAUUACAAAUUAUAAAAAAAAGUCCAAAAACUACAUUGAUGUUACUUGGCUACCAACUUGAAAGUUGAUACAAAUGUUCUAAUAGAAACUUCUCCUAUUCCAAAAACUAACUUCAAUUCAAAAUUGGUGUAUCAUUGAAUAAUGAAGUUUUCUACCAUCAUGCCAAAUUUCACCUUAAUUUAUUAAGUAGACCUUUAGAUUUCAUAGAAAUCCUACCCAACCUCAAAUUGCCAACUUUUGAUACCUUCUUAUACUAAAACCUAGAUAUCUCUCAAUUGCAUUAUUAGAUUAAGAAAUAAAUUUAUAUAUACUUAGCUUAUCCAAUCAAUCAAGUAUUUUUAAAUUUUUAAUCAUAAAUACAACAUUAAUUAUACAAACUAGCCAAAAAUGGUAGUCUUAAUUAUAUUGUAUAAAUUCCAAAUCAUUGAUACAAAUCUUGAUUUUGAAUAAUAAUUACAAAGUUAUUAUAAAUCUUAUGAAAAUAAGCUUUAUAUCUAUAGAAUCAAUUUGAAGCUAAUUCUCAAAUCUUAAUUACCAAUCUUUGAAUGCCCUUCUAUUUUACCUUGUAGUAGCUAUUUUAGUGGCUAGAGGUCUAAUUUUGACCCUGUUUCAUAAAUGGUUGAUCCUUGGAUAUCAAUCUAAUAUAUCCUAAGAGAUUUUUAAUCCAAUCCUACCUUCAACUUAAUCCUAGUAUCAACCAUGCUAAUUGUUUAUCUCUUCUAAUUUAAUUUUAUCAAUUUAUAGCCUUUUUAAAAUAGUAAAAGAAUUUCUACACUGUAGAAGAUAAAAUUAUUAACCAAAUUUUAUUGUAUUAGUGAUAAAGAUAAGAAAAUAAACUAAGAAGAAUUUAUAAAAGCUAUGUUUAAAUAUCUUCAUUUAUUAUUGAAUCAAGAUGAUUAGAUAUUAAUUAAAAAUUUAUUUUUGAUUAUAUUUUUAUCAUAUAUUUGUGUCACAACUUGACAAUAAGAAGUAUAUAAACUAAUAUGCAUUAAAAAAAGAGAUGAAUAGAAAAGUGUAUUUUGAACUAGAUAUGAGAAUUUUGAACAUAAUGUCAUGCCUUUUAAACUCACAAACAUACUAGCUACUUUUCAACAUCUUAUGAAUGAUGUCUUUUGUGAAUUUCUUGAUGAUUUUUUUAUCUAUUAUUUGGACGACAUUUUAAUCUACUCUAAGAAUAUAAAAGAGCAUGAAGUUUACAUUUGUCAUACAAGUGAAAAUAAGAUACGAGAUUAUAAACAAAGUUAAAAAAGUAUAUAUUCCACAUUACUCAAGUUGAUUCCUUAAGAUACAUCAUUUCUAAUGAAUGGCUAAUGAAUGAUCCAAAAAAAGUCUAGAUUGUGAAGGAUUGGAAGAUUCUAAAAAUAAUAAAAGAUGUAUAAUAUUUUUUAGGCUUUGCCAAUUACUAUUGAAUCUUCAUGAAGAAGUUUUCUCAAGUUGCACCUUUACUUAUAUAUUUGACUUGUAAAAAAAAACUUGAAUAGAGUAAAGAAGCCAAAGCAUUAUUUGAUGAUUUAAAAAUUGAUCUUAUUUUUGCAUCAAUCUUAUAUCAUGUUGACUUCUUUAAGAUAUUUUUCAUGAAAAUAGAUGCAUGAGACUUUACCUUAGAUGCAUUAUUAUGACAAAUGGAAAUAGAUGACAAAUUUUAUCCUAUAUCUUUUAUUCCAAGAAAUUUUCAGCAUUCAAGAUUAAUUAUGAGAUCCAUAAUAAAAAUCUCUUUAUAAUUGUCGAUUUAUUUCAAGAAUAGUGUCAUUAUUUAGAAGGCACCUUGAGUCUAGUUACUAUAUAUAUAAAUCAUAAGAACCUCAAGUACUUCAUGUUGAAAUAUAUUUUGAAUCAUUGCCAAGCUCGUUGGAGCAUGUUUUUAUUAAAAUUUAAUUCUAAGAUCUCUUAUCAAUCAAAGAAACAAUAAGAUUUAUCAAACGUAUUUUUUAGAUGUUUUUAUUUUAUACCAAAAGAAAAAGAUGUAUCCUUUAAUCAAUAAAGAAUAAUUCUCUUGAAGCCAAAGAAUUUUUAUCUUCGAGCAAUAAAAUCAACAUUGAUUGUUGAUUCAAUCUUUGUCAAGUAAAUUCAAUCAAGUAUGUCAUCUAAUCCUUUUAUCCAUAAUAUCAAGAAUAAUUCUUUUAAGUUUCAUGAUAUUUUCAAGUUUGAAUUUAAAAAUAACCUACUUUAUUUUGAAGGACAAUUAUAUAUUACAGAAGGUGGGAUAUAUUUACAUAUUCUUCAAACUCAUUAUGAUUUUUUAACACCUGGAUAUUUUGGAUACAAUAAGACUUUGGAGCUAAUAUCUAGAGAUUUUUAGUAGCCUCAAAUGUGAAAGGUAGUCAAAGACUUUAUACAAUUAUGCAAUAUUUGUUUAAGAUUUAAAACUCCUUGCUAUCAAAAUUAUGGACUUCUUUAGCCAUUUUUUAUUCCAAAACAGUCGUGGUCUUCCGUUUCCAUGGAUUUUAUCAAAGAUUUUUCAAUGUCAAGUUUGUAUGAUUCUAUAUUUAUGAUAGUAGAUCGUUUUAUUAAGAUGACAUAUUUUAUAUUAUAUAUAAAAUCUAUCAUAAGUGAAGAAAUACCUAAGUUUUUUUUUUAAUAUCUAUUAUUAUUAUAGAUUUUUUAAAGAUAUUGUAUCAAAUAAGAAAACUCAAUUUAUAUCAAGAUUUUGAAAAAUAUUUUUUUAAGAUUUUAAAGGUGGAUAUAAAGUUAUUUUUGGCUUUUCAUCUUCAAAGUGAUGGGCAAAUAAAAUAAAUAAAUCAAGUUCUAAAGCAAUACUUAAGAUAUACUAUCAACUAUCAUUAAGAUGAUUGGACAAUUCUUUUACCAUUAAUAGAGUUUGUAUACAAUAAUUUGGUAUAUUUUUUCUAUUCAAUAUUUUUUUUACCAAUUAUAGUUAUCAUCCAUGACUUGAUAUUUUUGACUUUUCAAAGUUGAUAAUCUAGUAGCAAAAGAUUUGGCAAAUCAUUUGUUAGAACUACAUGCAACAAUGAAGGUGGAAUUAAAAAGAGCUUAAGAAUGACAAAAAAUUAAGGCAAAUGCCUAUUUCAAGGAACAAUCACAAUUCAAUAUAAGUAAUAAGAUAUGAUUUCUUUAUCACAAUAUUAAGACUACUUAUCCUUGUGAUAAGUUGAAUUAUCAUAGGCUUGAAUCCUUUCCUAUUUAAGAACAAGUCAAUCUUAUUGCUUAUUGAAUAUAUCUACCAAAGUCUAUGAAGAUCUACCUUAUAUUCCACGUGUCUCUUUUUGAGCCAUAUAUGAUAGUGAAUAUCUUGAAAAAAAAGACAAAUGCCACCUUUUCCUAUAGAAAUGGAUAAUAAUCAAGAAUUCAAGGUGAAAGAAGUUUUAGAUUUAAGCCAAUGCCAAAAUAGGUUGAAAUAUCUUGUUCAUUGAUAUGAAUAUGAUAUUAAUGAAUGCACAUAGAAGCCAACAAAGAAUCUUAUAAAUAUAGCAAAAAGAAUUGAGGAUUUUUAUAGACAACAUCCAUCAAAAUCAAGAUGAAAAAUAACAUAUCUUUCCUAUAAAAGAAACAAGAUCCAAAGAAGAUGACAUUCUAUCUUAUAUCUUUUUUUAUAGCUUUUGUAUAUUUGUGAUGCUAAAGAGAUGGAAAAUCAACAAUGAGUAGAUUGAAUCCAAGAGCUUUUACUUGUUGAUUUACUAAAUAAGACAUUGGAAUUGUCAGAAUCUUCAAGUCAAUGUAAUUGAGAUGAAGAUCCUCAAGAACAACAUAUCCUUCCUCAAAUAGAUGGCAAGAUACAAUAUUUUUGGUAUCACAACCUUUGAAGAGACUCUUAAUGUUUCGUGAUUUUAUUAAAAAUAUGAAUAAUUUUUAAUAGUAUUCCAAAUGUUUUAUUUGAAAGAAGUUACAAAGAUCUUAAUAACAAUCAAAUAAUAAGAUGAUCUUUUUGCCUUGGUAUGAGAUACUAUCGAUAAUUCAAAGGACUUAUCAACCAUCUUCAAAGCGAACAAAGAUCAAAGUAUGUGACAAAUAUAAUUUGUCGCAUCUUGGAUUUCAUCAACACAAGAUGACCGCUUUUUAUAGAACUUAUUCUUAAAAAAAAGAAUAAUGUCAUAUAUAUAUAUAUAUAUAUAUAUAUAUAUAUAUAUAUAUAUAUAUAUAUAUAUAUAUUAGUAAAUAUCUAUAUUAUUGAAUUGAAGUAAAUAAAAAUAGAUAAAAUUAGAUUAAUUUCAUAAUAUCUUCUAAAGAAGCUUCUUAAAAAAUUCAUAGACAUUCUUUUGAUUUUAUAUAUAUUUUUAGUUAAUUGAUAGGUUAGAAACUUAGACAAUAAAUUAACCAAGUGUUGAUAGCUUACGAAAUAAGUUAACUAUAUGGCGUAUAUAUAAAAAAUCUUGUCUUAUAAGUUGAAAUGUAUGUCUUACAAAGUCAAUAUGUUUUAGAAGUCCUAUAUGACAUUGCUACAUAAUUCUUAAUUAAAAGUAUAUAUGGAGGCAAGAAUAAAGCCUUCUUCAUUCUUGUUAAUGCCUUUCUAGUCUUUAGUCUUAUUUCAAGACUUUCUCAUCUUCUUAUUUUUGACAAUAGCCAUUUUAGUUUAAUAUUAUAUCAUCUCUAAGUGAUUUUUUAAUUCUUUUCAAUAACACAAGAAUGAAUUGAAGAUUCCUUUCUUUAAGAUUCAUAUCCUUGAUAUGUAGCAUAUAUAACAAAAAGUGACUUUUCUAUUACAACAUAUAUAAAAGUUCUUGCACCUACUAAUAAAGAUUUUAUUACAUUAGAUUUAUGGAUUUUUACUUGAAUAAUAAAAUUUUAGAUUAAACUACAAAAAAAAUCAAUGUUAUAAGAAAUUUAGUCUUUUUGAGUUAUACUUCUUCAACUAUAAUAAUUCUAAAAUAAUUAAAUUUGAAGGAAAUCUAAUUACAUUAAAUAUUACUGAGCUAUUAUAAUUAUUAAAUGUUACAUCUAAAAGAAUAAUUUUAUAAAUAAUAAUUAUAGAAAAAAAUAAAUGUCUAAUUAUUAUUUAUAUAUAUAUGGAUUUUAUUUUCUUGAUUAAAAAUGUUUCUUAUAUUUUAACAAAGUCUAUGUCUAUAAAACAAGCUAAGACUCUUCAAUCUAAUAAGGCUAAGACAUUAUGAUUUUUUGAUCCUAAAUGAACUUCUAUUGUAAAACAAUUGAUGGAUUUAAGAAAAAAAUAGAAACUUUGUUAGGUGUUGUAUAAAGUUCUAAUUAGAUGAUCUCUAUUAUAGUUGGAGAAUUUUUUUUCCAACUCAUUGUCUUUUUUGGUAACCAUACUUCUUAUUUUAUGAUUAUAUUGCUUUUUUAGAUAAUAUUGAUAAUAUUGAGCAAUGUGCUUGGAUUUUCCAUAAUAUAAGUACAAAACUUUUUGACAACAUCAAGUCUUUUUUUGCUCAGUAAGAAGUUUAAAAUAUUUUGUAUCAAUUUGCAUAAAUCUAAGCAUUAAUAAAUAAACUUCUUAAAACUUAAAAGCUAUUACUAUGAUUUUAUUUGACUUAUAUCUUUUCAACCAAAUCAUUAUAUUUGGCAUCUUUCAAAGAAUUGAUUGUCAUAUAUAGUGGAUUGAGCAAUAAAUUACUCAAUUGAAUCUACUCUUUGUAUUAUUAAUAAUAAAUCUUUGACAUUAUCUUUAAAUCCAUAUCAAAAUUGAUCAAUAAAAGCUUUAUCAUUU
Molecule: long non-coding RNA, 69017 nt
Filed under: Physcomitrium patens
Lineage: Eukaryota; Viridiplantae; Streptophyta; Bryopsida; Funariales; Funariaceae
Description: long non-coding RNA (PPAT_LNC000733)
Source: RNAcentral